This 73727-nucleotide long non-coding RNA is filed under the name Vitis vinifera (wine grape). RNAcentral describes it as "long non-coding RNA (VVIN_LNC004529)". The record is from RNAcentral. Lineage: Eukaryota; Viridiplantae; Streptophyta; Magnoliopsida; Vitales; Vitaceae.
CUCUCAUGUCCUAAACAAAAUCUAGUAACUUUUAUCCUCCUAUAAAACAACAGCCUAAAUAUCGAGGAAGAGUACUAACUAGGAAAAUCUCGCAAAUGAAAGAAGUUUAAGAAUCAUGAGUUAAGGGAGCUUUCGAAGUGGUAAAUAAUUCCUUCUGGCCUUCUGCUCUCCUUUCAGCAAUUGAGACCCUCCCUCCAUCUAGAGCAUAUGAGUUCAGACCCUAAUAUUUUUUUUCCUGUUUAUUCACAUCUUAUUCACCCCUUUACUCCAGUCAAUAACAAUAAUAAUAAGUUAAUGACGAUAACAAUACUUCUUUUUGUGUUAUUCACAUGUUAUCCACCUCUUUACUCUAGUCAAUAAUAGUAAUAACAGCACCUUCAAUACACUAGAAAGAACGUAAAAAUUCUAAAAUAAACAAUGAAUUGUCAAGAUCGUUUAAGAAAUUAUUAUAAAUAGAAUGAUUUUAGUAAAAUAUGAUUGCCUAAGAUAAUCAUAAACUUUCUUUUUGAAACAUCUUUUUGUGAUUACCUCCAUCACUGUUCACAGCAACUAAUUAAACCAUACUCCAUCCAAAAAUAGAAUGAAUGGUUACACAUCUUAAAAGUCUCAAUAUUUAAUGCUUAGACACAUCUCAUGAGACUAAUUAUUUGUCCUUUCUUUCCCAACCACAUAGUAUAAGUAUAGUACAAAUGCAAAUGUAUGAACACAAAUUAAAGAUUUGUUUUGAUUGGAAGUCUAAUAUAUAUAUAUAGAACAAAACAAGAAAGAGGGGUAUGAGCAAGGAAGAACAAGGAGUUCUUCAAAAAACUAGAAACCAAACAAACAAGCUGAAAGCACCCUGGGCCAAUUGCCUGACCGCACUAAAAAUUGCCCCCAAAGUCUUCAGGUGUAACUGCCUCUACUUUAUCUACAAAACCAUUAGGAAAGCUAGAAAACCCACCAAUGGAACUUGCCUUCAUUAUGAAGUAACCAGUAAGAAGGAAAAUCUCCUUCCUUCAAGUGGAUAGUCCUCCACAUGCCCUAAAACUUGGAAGUCAACCCACUUAGUGAAGUAGAAAAUCCCCUUUGGCCUUUGAUCUGUUCCAUCCUGAACGAUGUUUUUUCUUUUCUAUCAGAGUUCCAUCCUGAACUGUUAAGUUCUGUAAUGCCUACAACAAUGGCUUUUAUAGCAUUACCUAACCUCAUGGCUUUGAAUAAGAAAAUCAUAGACCUAGAUCAAGGCAUAUAAUUAUGCUGACUAGCCUCAAGUUCCCAACAGAGCAACCUUUCUGUCGUCUAGUCUAUUGGAUGAAGGUUUCAUCCAGGUAGAAAAAAUGUCUUCUAUGAGAUCAUUUAAAGCAAGUGUACUGGAUACAGUAGCUUCUUUCUUCUCUGUAAUAGUUAAAAAGAAUCAAAUGUUGACCCCACUCUAGCUUGAAGAAAGACAAAGAAAUAAGGUUGACUAUGGUUCAAGUAUAGCAUGUUUCAUCAACUUUCAAUUUUAAACUAGAGAUAGGCACUAACAAUGUAUAUGAAAAAUCUGUUCCCUGUUUGUAGGUGAAGUUAAACUAGACAAGUUGAUUACAGCACAACGCUAUGGCCUAAAGCUUCAAGAAAGAGCUUGAUCCGUCAUGUCCCAAUUUUCCAUAAUUCUUGCACAUAUGUCUUAUAAAAAGAAUCAAUGUGAUUGCUUCCCAGUUGAGCAGCUCCAACUGAUCCAGAAGGUAUUUAUCAUCUCUUUUUCAGGCCAUCAUGACUGUGUUCAACAGCACCUGAUAAGGAGAGCUUAAGUUCAGCAGCCCCACAUCCAAAUAAUUUGGUUUGAAGCAAGAUUUUGCCGCACUCACUGGAAAUGCAGGCUCACUGCAACAGGCAUAAUGCCUUUCUUGAAGAAGGCUUAUACCCCUCAAGUGAGAACCAAGAGUCCCCCAAUUUGCUCACCAAUAAUCUGUAUGUUUCAGCAUUAGAUUUAUUUAUUGUGGCAAAUAAGAGGAGGCCAUUUUCAUAUGUUCCACCCAUGAACAUCACUAGCUUAUUAUGAGCUUAACAAAGAAUUAAAGACAAGGUCUCCAACUUAUGGUUACAACAAAUCAAAUCCUAAUAAUAGCCAAGCAGAGUUUAAAUCAAGUGAGAGUUGAAGUACUGAAAUUUUUAAAACUAUUUAGUUUGAGACUCCUUAAAUGAUACAAAAUUUUAAAAUAUUAUAAUUUUGAAUAAUUUUAUGAUAUUCAAAUAAAAUUUUAUUUUUUAAAUAGUAUAUAAAUUAUCUUUUUUAUUUUUAUAAUUAUUUUUAAUUUUAAUAAUAUAUAAAUUAUAUAUUUAUGACAUCACCAGUUCGACUAGUGAACCGUGAACCAGUAACUUUUCUAGUUCAAUGAUCGAUCCGGUUAUGAAACAUUGGUUUUAACCCUCAUAACUACCCCUUUUCUAGCUCUAUCUCCCACCAUUGGAUCAUAUUCCUGAAUUUUUAGGUCAACCAAACAAGAAGGAAUUUGAAACCCACCAAGAAAAAGAUCAGAAUACUCAGGACCACUAAUGAAACCCACCAGCUCUAUUUUAUUAUAGAGGAAUGGGUCCAUGGAGUGACUCCCAUUGUAGAGGAAAUUCUGAUAUCAUUUUCUGGAGUUCUACCCCACCCAAAUGACAGGAACAUGCAUGCUAAAGCAUUACUUUCCUCUAUUUUCUGAGCAACCAAACAUUCCCAAAAUUUGGAGAAUGAUGUAGAAACCGAAAACAACCCCACACCUUCAAUCUCCUAGCUUUAAGAAACAUUCUCCAAGAAUUAAAAGAGAACGAUUAGAAACCGAACAAGAGGCAGCAAACUGUAUCUGGAAUUAUUGAAUCAAAUACAAUGCACCUGCAACUCCUCAUGAAAAGUCAAUUUCAUGCUCAGUUCCUCACACUCUGUCACCAUCAAUUUUUCUGAAGGUGCUUCCAUCCAGAAUUGAAACAGAAGCGUUUCUCCCAAGUUCCUCUCAUAAAGAAUCACAAUCCUAACAGAAAACAAGAAGCAUAGUCUUUAAUUUAUCAUCAUUUCCAAAUACUAGAUCUCCUAUUCUUCAAUCUUAAACUCUUGCAGAAUCUCCUCAUAUUGCAGCCAACACAACAAAUAAUAUUAAAAAUUUAGAUAUCAAAAAGAGCUUCAGAUGUUCCUCACCACACUCCCCCCUCUCCAUUAUACAUGUUGCCCAACUUCAGAAGUUCCAGAAAAACAUCAAUUGCAAGAAUAUUGCCAUGUGCAAAAUAAAACAAACUUACCUUCCUUAAGAAACAGUCCUGAACCAGACCAAGGUCAAUUGGCAUGUUCCACAAUAGACUUCCUACUAUAGCAACUACUAUGGAGAGCAGUGAGGGACAACUAUCAUAGGACUCAACAAGUUAUAAAUAUAAUGAACUAAGGCCAAGAUAUCCAACUUAUGAUUCCUGCAAAUCAAAUCCAAAUAAUGUCUAAAUUAUGCACUGAGUACAUGACCAAACAUAAAUAGCAUCAAUGGAAGGUCGUAUGUUUGUAGCAGUCUCAAGAAAAUCUACCCAUUUCUAAUGUUAGGCUCAAUUAACCUAUCAAAAAAAAAAUGUUAAGGCUCAAUUAGGUGGAGCAACUAAAACUACAUUGCAUUCUUUGAAAGUGAUUCAGUUAAAAUACAAGUAAACAAUGCACUGAUUAAAACAUGACCAAACAUAAAUAGCAUCAAUGGAAGGUUGUAUAUUUGUAGCUGUCUCAAGAAAAUCUACCCACUUCUAAUGUUAGCCAAAAUUAAGUGGAGCAACUAAAACUACAUUGCAAUCUUUGAAAGUGAUUCAGUCAAAUUACAAGUAAACAAUCUCUAAUAUGCAAAAGCCUUUACAAAAUAUAAAAUAGAUUAUGAAGGCCGACCUACUCCUAUAAUCCAAUCCUAGUAAUGCUAUAGCAGAAAUAAAUGGUACAACCCUAAUCUAUUUCCCAGUUGGCCUCAGGAUAUUUGGCAUUAAUAGCAUGUUGUCCACCAUAAGCAAUUCAAUUGAACUGAGAGAAGAAGCAAGUAAAAGGUAGAGAAAGAGUGGAUCUAUUCCCUUUAUCCAAUCAACUUGGGCUCAAAAGGAGUAACUACCAAUGGCAAGUAAACACACAAAAAUAACAGAAAUUCAACUCUUGCUUGAUAGAUCAAUCUCCUGUAGCAACAUGAUCUUUUGAUCAAUUGAACUAGUUUGAUUGCAAAAACUUGUUGAUACAAUCAAAAGCCAUAAACAGCUACAAAGAAGAGCGGGAUCCUCCAAGAAUUCCAUGUUUAGAGUUGAUGAAUAUUAUAACUCUUUACUGCACAUACUUGCAUAGAAUUUGCUUUACAGAUUGAUCCAAUCCAUCAUCAGAUAACAUUCCCACUAACAAUGUGGUUGUGGAUACAUCAACAGAAAAUCCCCUUGCAAGCAUUUCUUCAAGAAGUUCAAUAGUUCUCAAUGCCUCAUUAUUCCUUAAAAAUCCUCGAGUAAUCAAAUUAUAAGUGCAAUCAUUUGGUGAGCAGCCAUUCUUAUUCAUUUCACUAAAUAACUUACUUGCCUCAGCUAAUAACCCUUGUUUACAAAGCCCAUGGAUCAUAAUAUUAUAAGUCCAAACAUUAGGCUGCAAUCCUUUGGAGGAGAGAUUGGAAAAGAGAUCCCUUGCAUCUUCAAGUUCACCAGCCCUACACAUGCCAUCAAGGAUAGUAGUAUAAAUUUGUAUAUCAGGAUCCCAAUUACUUCCUUCAAUAGCUUUCAGCAAAGCCAUAGCUUUAUCAAGAUGACGAUUUUUGCAUAGAUAGUCCGAUAAAGUGCGAUAAGUGACAAGAUCAGGAAUUUGGCCACGAGCUACCAUCUCAUGAAAAAGUGAUAUUGCAUCCUGGAGUCUUCCCACAUGGCAUAAACCAUGUAUAAGGGUGUUGUAAGUCACAGUGUUAGGAGUCAAUUCUUGUCGACUCAUUUCUUCAAAGAGAUACAUGGCCUUAUCUACGCUUUGAAUCUUGCAAUAACCAUUGAUCAAGGUGUUAUAGCUGAUUACAUUAGCCACACAGUCCUUAUGAACCAUUGUAUCAAAUACUUUGACCGCCACAUCCACUUCAUUUCGCAAACAGUGUCCAUCCAUCAAUGCAUUGUAGGUGACUACAUUAGGCUCCACACCUCUGUGAAUCAUCAUGUCGACUACAUCAUGUGCUUCAGCAACCAUUCCUUCUUUACAGAGUGCAUCCACCACUGUAUUAAGAGUAAAUACAUCUGGCAUUAUCUUGCUAUCUACCAUUUCGUUCAUCAGUGUUGUCACAUGUUUCCACUCACAUAACUUGCAUAGACCAUGAAUUAAUGAGUUGUAAGUAACAAUAUUAGGUGAAAUGCCUUUAGUGAUCAUCUCAGAGAAAAUGUUGAAAGCCUCGGUUACUUGUCUAUCCUUACAAAGGCUAUCAAUGAGGGUGCUAAAGACGACUACGUUAGGCUGACAAUUUCCUUGUUCCAUGCUUCUAAGUAACCUGAUAGCUGCACUAGUGUUACCCACUUUGCAUAAUCCAUUUAUCAGAGUUCCAUAUGUAACUACGUUGGGCUGAAAACCUUCCCCAAUCAUUUUAUCAAACAAGUGGAGGGCUUCACCAAUUUUACCCUCAACACACAGCCCCCUAAUCAGAGUGGUGAAGGUCGUAGCGUCGGGUUGAUGGCCAAGUUUGAGGAUUUUGGCUAAAGCGGAGAAAGCGAAAUCCACCCGAUUCAAGUGGCAGAGAGAGUUAAUGACGAUGGCGAGAGUGUAAACAUCGGGGGGAAUUCCAAAAGAAUCCAUUUGGCGAGAAAGAGAAAGCAGGGUCGAGUGGUGUUUCGUUUUAGCAAUGGAGGUCAAAAGUCGAUUAAAAUCAACAGUGGAGGGAGGAGGUUGCUUAUGAAGCAUCCGAUUAAACGUGGAGAGGGCUUCAUCGAGGGUAUUGAAAUGAAGGGGUUUGGAAUGAAAUGUAUUAUGUGAUGAAGACAAGAAUGGAGGAGGAAGAGAAAGCAUCCCUGUACCGGAACCAAGAGGAGAAGAAGAAGAAGAAGAAGGCCUUCGAAUUUUCCUCUUCAUAAUCGCCACCAUUUUGCAGACAAAAGAGGGUGAUAAAAGCACAAGAAAACACAGGGAGCAUCUAGAAAUAGAUACUUGUACAUGGCCUUGCAACUAUGUUGAAGAACACUUUUCAAUUUCUUAAAACUAAAAAACACCGAAACUAUUUUUUUUUUUUUUCUAUUUUCAAUUUUUAGAAAAUAAAAAAUAGGAUAUUUUCAUAGAACUUCUUUUAUUUAUUUUCAGUUAUAUUUUGAGAAAUGUUUUAAAUAAUAAUUAUAUAAACAUAUAUAAUAAUUAAAAAUAAAGUUAUGGACAUAAAAAACUAUUUUUAAAAUAUGUUAAAAACAAUUUUAGAUUUUCAAACAGACUUUUAUUUUAUAAAACAUCAUAAUAUAACGAUUUUUAAAAAUUGUUUCUAAAAACUAUUUUUUCAUAACCGUUUUCAAAACUAGUUACCAAACAAGGCCUAUUUUUCUGUCUUAUUAUUUCUUUGGCAUAACGUAUGAAACUUAUUUUAAAUUUAAAAUUAUUUUUCCAAUUAAAAAAAAAUUAUGUCCAAGAUUUACAAGAUAUUGUAAUUCUUUUCAAAUAAUUGAAAUAAAAUAAUUAUAAUCAAUAUUUAUUAUUUAUAAAAUAAAAUAGAGAAUAGUUUUUUAGAAAAUAAGAGCUUAUUUGGCGAAGUUUUUAAAAACCUAUUUAAUUAUUGUUCUUUGUUUUCAGUUUUUUAAAAUUAAGUAAGAUAGAUAACAACUUUUAGAGAACGAGUAAAAAUUGUUUUCAUUAGUUUUUAAAAACAAUAGAAAAAUACGGGUCUAUUUGGUUCCUAUUUUCAAGAACUGUUUUCUGUUCUUGAAAACAAAAAACACAAAAAACUUGUUUGGGAAAGGGGUGUGUUUUUGUUUUUUGUGUUUUUUGUAUUCUCAUAAACCACUUUUUUGAGAAUAAUAAAAAUAUGUUUUCAUUGUUUUUUCACUGUUCAAAUAAUAUAUUGUUUUUCAUAUUUUCUCUUCCUUUUUCUUGUGUUUUCUUAGCUGUUUUUUGUAUUUCCACAAAUGUAAGCUCCACCCAACCACCACACCCUUACCCGCAAACCCUUUCUUCUUCUUUAAGUUAUUGAAAUUAAUAUACUUACACAUGAUGACAAAGUUAUCCUUUAUUUAAGAAAAUUAUAAUUGGUGUAAAUAUUUCAAAAUGGAAUAAUUUAUUUAUUUUUAAUUUAAAUGAAUUGUGCAUAUGAAAAUUAUUUAAAUAUUUAUAAUAUUAAGUUAAUGGAAGAAAACACUUUAUUAACUAAAAAAAACAUGUUUUUUCUUUUACUUAUUCUAAAAAACUUUUUUAUUAACUCAACCAAACAUAUAUAUAUAUAUAUAUAUAUAUAUAUAUAUAUUUUUAGAACAAAAAUUGUUUUCCAAAAUUCAGUUCCCAAACACAAUUCUUUUUUCUUUUUUUUUUCCUGAAAACACAAAAAAUUGUUUUUAAAAACUAUUCUCAAAAAAUGUUUUACAGAACAGUUUUAAAAAACAGCAACCAAAUAGGCCUACAUACACUCUAUUAUUUCUCUUCUACAUAAAAUUUUUAUUUAUUUAAUUUUUUUUGUUAAACAAAUUAACUCCAAAUUAAACAAAACUUAAUGCUUGAGUUUGUUAACAAGUCUAUUAAUUUUUAAAAAUAAUUUAAAACUUAAAUAAUAAACUUAUUAAUACCAUAAAUUUAUUAAUACAAUAAAAUAUCAUUUUUCUAACAUAUAAUAAAAUAGUAUAUUUUUUACUAAAAAUAUAAUUUAUGAUUUUAUUAUAAUAUUACUAUUUAUGUUUUACUAAAAAAAUAUAUAUUUAAUUAUUUUCAUUUUCAAUAAAACUUCAAUUUAAUUUAAUUAAUUAAUAUUAUAUAAAUUGAAUUUAAAAUGUUUUUACAGAAUCAAGAUAAUUUUUUUAAAAAAAACAAUUUAUACGAACAAGUUUUUUUGUAUUUUUAUUUUUAAAAUCCUUUUAUAAUAAUAACUUACCAAAUAUCCUUAGUUUUAUAAAACAUUAUAAAAACCUUUUAUGAUUCUUUAACUUUAAAAAUGUUUCUAAAAAAAGCAUAAGAAAUCAUGAUCAAAUAAAAAAAUUUUAAAAAUUAAUUAAAGUACUUAAUUGACUUGUAUUAAAAAUAAAUAUUAAAAUUAUUUUUAUCUUAUAGAAAUUUUUGUUUCACUACAAUAAAAAAAUUGUUUCAUAAUUUUUUAAAAAAAAUUACUUUUAACUCACAUAUAAUUAUGGAUUUAAUUUUUAUUUUUUAAUAAGACUUAACUUGAAUUUGAUUUCAUAUUAUUAUAAAUUAAUUUUAUAAAUUAAUUUUAUAAAAAUUUUAUAAAAUAAAAGUAAUACAUUGUUUUUAAAAACAAUACAAAUUCUUUCAUCCAAACAAGCUUCUUGUUUUUUUUUUUUUUUUAAAACAACUUGCCAAAUACAGUUUUUAAAAAAUUCUAAAAAAAGUGUUUUUUAUUCUCUAUUUUAAAGAAAUUUUUAAAAACAUAGCCAAAUGGACCCUAAGUUUUCACUAUUUUUUAAAAAUAUAUAUAUAUAUAUAUAUAUAUAUAUAUAAAAUAAAAAAAUCAGAAAAAAAUAAAAUUGAACAUGAUAGCAUUCAUUUUUUCUCUUCACAAAUAAAAUUUUCAAAUAUGAUAUUCCUUUAAAUUACGCAUACUUUUCUAAUUUUUUUUUUAACUUUUCUAAAAUUAUUCGUGAAAUAAAUAAAUUUUAAAUUAAACUAUGCUUGAAAUAUAAAAUUUAUUACUUUUAAAAAUAAUUUAAAACUCAAAAUUUGAUUUAAUUAAUACUAAAAAGUCAUAGAACUCAAUAAUAUUAGUAAAUCAUUGACCAAAAUUUAUUUUAAAUGUCUGAAUUAGUUAAAAUAAAUUCCUAAUUAGUUUCUUCUUUAUGUAAUAAUAAUAAUAAUUGGUUUAGAAAGACUUUAUCAUUUCUCUUCUAUAUAUAUAAUCAUUAUUUUUUGAUUUUUUUUCACUAGGCAAAUGAAUUCUAAAUUAAACAAGACCUAAUGUGUUAGAUUUAUUAAUAAAUCUACUAAUUUUUUUUAAAUAGUUUAAAAUUUAAAUAGUGAAUAAUUAAUAUAAGAAAUUGAUAGACAAAAAUUGGUUUAAAACGACGUUAUUAUUGCUCUUCUACAUAGAAUCUUUAUUUUCUGAUUUUAUUUUUUAUUUUUUAUUAAGCAAAUGAAUUCUAAAUUAAACAAGAUUCAAUGUUGGAUUCAUUAAAGAGUCCACUAAUUUUUAAACAUACUUUAAAACUUAAAUAGUGAACCAAUUAAUACAAAAAAUUUACGAACAAAAAUUGGUUUAAAACAACCUUAUUGAUUCUCUUCUACAUAGAAUUAUCAUUUUCUUUUUUCUUUUUUUCAUUAGGCAAAUGAACUCAAAAUUAAACAAAACUUAAUGAGAUAAUUUCAUUAACUAGUAACCUUUAAAAAUAACUUAAAAUUUAAAUAAUGAACCAACCAAUGUAAAACAUUUAUAGAAAAAAAAAUUGGUCUAAAAUGACUUUAUGUUGUAAAACAAAGUGGGAGAAGAAGAAGAAAACAAGAAAGAGAUAAUAGAAUGCACGGGGAAUACUAAAUAGAUUUUCAUUAGGGUUCCUUUCUUUUGAUAGAGAUUCACAAAGAGAUAUACAUCAUUACGAAUGAUCAUCCAUAAAUUCUAACAAUGCUACAAAUUCUUAUAUUUUAUAACACUCUCCAUUGCAUGAUCAUAAGAAUAUUGUAACUGUCUUGUUAAAAUCCUUGCUAGUAAAACUCAGUGGGACAAAACCUGGACAAAGGAAAAAAUAGUGUAGUAUAUCCAUAUUAGUAUUCUCCUCAUCAUGUAGACAUGAUUAUGAUUUCUUCAACACUUCAAUUGGUAGAUCUCUCAAUCUUAGCAUUUUGAUGUCAUACCUUAACUUUUUCAAUGUGGUUGAAGGUAGCGCAUUUGUGAAUAAAUCUGCUAGAUUAUUGCAUGACCAAAUCUGUUGAACAUCAAUUUCACUUUUCUCCUAGAGCUCACGAGUAUAAAAGAAUUUAGGGAGACAUGCUUAGUUUUGUCACCUUUUAUGAAUUUUUUUUUUAAUUUGUGCAAUAUAAAAAACAUUAUCUUCAUGUAACUUGGUUGCAUUGCCUCUGAUGGAAGGUAGUCCACAUGUUUCUUGAAUAUGUUAAAUCAUGGACCUUAGCCAUACACAUUCACAACUUGCUUCAUGAAUUGUAAGAAUUUCUAAAUGAUUUGAAGAGGUGACUACCAUUGUUUGCUUGACCGAUCUCCAAGAUAUUGUCAUACCACCAUAAGUAAAGACAUAUCUCGUUUGAGAUUGAGCUUUAUGAGCAUUUGAAAGAUAUCCUACAUCUAUAUACCUAAUCAAUUGUGAUUUUGAUUCUUUUGAAUAAUAUAAGCCCAUGUCACUUGUUCCAUGAAUCCAUAUAAAAUUGUUAUAAUACUUUCUCUAUAUAUGUUGAUUGAUGGACUAAUAAGCCAUUUGAACAAUGCUCGAUCUACAAGUUGAGACAAUAUCUUGUUUUCCUUAGAUCUUUGUGAGCUCUUCAAAAGUCCCUCAUAAAGGUUCAAAUCACCCACAUAUACUGCAAUUAUUGUAAGCCUAGUUUCCGAUUUCUUGAUAAAAACACAUGAGAAAAUUAAAUUAUUCACAUAUCAUUCUUUUAACAAAUACUCACUUAAACUAUUAUACCACAUGUAUCCAUAUUGCUUUAAUUCAUAUAAAGAUCUUUGUAGUUUGAUUGUGUACAUGUUUCAAGGUUUUGGAUUAGUUGCUUAAGGCAAUUUGAAUCAUUUAGGGAUUUUCAUAUAUAUGUUAGUAUUUAUAGACUCAUAUAAAUAGGUUGUAACAACAUGUCACAACCCAAAUUCCAGGCAACCCAAAAUUUGGCCCAUGACCCCAAGUCAAAGGUUUGAUCCUAAGGGGUUCUCCUAUUCCACGCUGGUAGUCAACCAAAACACUCUAAUUUUUUUUCUCUCCAUGUAUAAACUACACUAGAGUUCCCACCAACUAACAACAUACUAAUCAAAACUCAAAAGCAACAAGAUAUAAUAGUUAUCAUUACAGUCCAAAAAUAAAAGUUCACAGUUAAACAAUUUAAUCAAAAUGGGGUCUCAUUACAAAUCCAUAGUUCACAGUUUACUAAAACAAGUCCCAAAACCAAAAACACAAAAAAUACAACACACUCCACUAGGCUGUUCCAGGGGCAUCCUGAAGUUCUCCCUACCCCACUUAUGGAUCCUUAGGAGUGAUAUGUGCAUCUAAAAAUAUGUAAAAAUGAAGGGGUGAGCAUUUCACAUUGCUCAGUAGGGUGCCUAACACCUAAGGGGUUAAUGGGGAUUAUUAAGUUUCAAAAGAACAUAAAAGAAGCAUUUCAACAACAUUGAUCAAGCCACAUAAUUUAAUCUCUAUAAUUAUACACAAUUCCACAAUAUUCAACAAUUAAAUGAAAUGCAUAUGAACAUGUGACAUAGUCAUACAAUGCAAUGUCGUUCUCGGGCUUUCACCGAAGAAUACACGUCCACACCCAAAUACACUCCCUAUUCGAAGUCUUUUCGGGGUAAACUUUUGGGUCUUUCACCCUAGGGAUCUCUCUCUCUUCUUAAUUCGCCUCACACGGGCCUUUACUUUUCAUCACUAUUCAUUUUUCUCUUUCUUUUGCCAUUUCAAGCACUUUUCACAGUUUUUAUCAUUUCUUCACACAACCAUGAUGCAAAUGCAUGCCAUGAGGUUAAUUACUCUCAUUCAUAUGUAUCACCAAUAUCAUCGGAAUUACAAUCAUGCCACAAUUCCAAAAUUUUCCAACAAUUCCAACAAUCCCAAUAAUCAAACAUGAUUAUUUUUUCACAAUAAAAUUACAAAAAAUAUUCCAACAAUUUCUCAAAAAUUCACAUAUCAAUAAAUUAUAACAUAUACAACAAUUUUAUAAUUUUCCAACCAUUCCAAUAAUUUUCAAUAAUCAAACAUGAUUAUUUUUCCACAAUAAAAUCACCAAAAAUAUUCCAACAAUUUCUCAAAAAUUCAUAUAUCAAUAAAUUAUAACAUAUACCACAAUUUUAUAAUUUUCCAACCAUUCCAAUAAUUUCCAAUAAUCAAACAUGAUUAUUUUUCCACAAUAAAAUCACAAAAAAUAUUCUAACAAUUUCUAAAAAAUUCACAUAUCAAAAAAUUAUAAUAUAGACCACAAUUUUAUAAUUUUUCAACCAUUCCAAAAAUUUUAAUAACCCAAAAACAACCAUUUAUUAACCAAACAAAAUUUUCCGAAAUCACAAAAAUUCCAAAAAAAUUCCCAAUCAUCCAAUAAAAUUCCUACAGUACAAACAUUAUCUAUUUAACUCAAAAUGACAAUAUCGACAAUUUUUUUUUCCAAGAAAAAACGCAUUUAAUUAAAGUUUUAGGGUUAGGCUCCCCUAUCAUAGAUCUACGAAUCAGACCAUUAAAAUCAAGAUCGACCACCGUAGAAUUGUUCAUCUCGUCGAGUAGAACACCUCUUCAAAUUUUCAGGCGAAAUGGACGACAUUCGACCCUCCAAAUGGCUGGCCAAAGAUCCGGCGGAAAGACUUUCUCCACAAUCGCUAAUAACUCUCUCUUCUACCACUUUCUAAUGCCUUUUCCUUUUUAAAAAACCCAAUUCAUUUUGUUUUUUUUCUUUAACCACAAAUCACCACAAGCCCACGACUCAACCAAACAACCUUUUGAAUUCUUUUCUUUUAUUUAUUUCGUUUUACUUAUUUUUAAUUUCAUUUCCAAUUUACUUCAUUUUUUUUUAACAACACAAAAUGAUUUAUUAAACACCAACCCAAAAAUUUAUUUUUUCUCAAAUUUAUUAUUAAUCAAUUUAAUUUAAUUUUUACUUAAUUAGUUUAGAUUAAUUUUAAUUGAUUCAUUUUUCAUUUUUCGUUUAUGAAAAUUUUCAAUUUCUAUAAUCCUAAGAAAUUUUCUAUCAUAAGGCUGACGUGGCACAAAAUUUUCAACUCACAUAAUUGACCAACAAAAUAAUUUGAAUUUCACAAAUUCAAAAUUAACACGUGUUCUCCAAUCACUUUUCUUUUUUACUUUCCAACCACCACUCAAAAGAAGACUUUUCAAACUAAAAAUUCUAACGUAGCCUAAAAUAUCCGGUCAUUACAUCCAAUCCCCCUAAAGAAAUUUUGUCUCGAAAUUUAAAUGAACUUACCUAAAAAAUUAUAGAAGAGUUGCGGAUAGUAUGGUCUCAUUUCUUUCUCAGGUUCCCAAGUGGCUUCUUCUAUCCCAUGGUGUUGCCACCACACUUUGAUUGCAGGGAUCACCUUGUUCCUGAACCUAUGUUCUCCAACUUCCAGAAUCUGUAAAGGUUCCUCCACAUAAGAAGUAUCUUCACUAAUUUGAACAUCUUGCAAGUCCACUACCUAAGUUGGAUCUGGAGUACACUUCCUUAGCAUCGACACAUGGAAGACAUCAUGCAUGAGGGACAACUAUUGAGGCAAGAUUAACUUGUAUGCCACUGGCCCAACUCAUUUAUCAAUCUGAAAUGGUCCCACAAACCUAGGGGCUAACUUUCUCUUUUUCCCAAAUCGAAAUAUGCCUCUUUGAGGAGACACUUUUACAAACACCCAAUCUCUUUCCUCAAACUCCAAGAGCCUUCUUUUUUGGUCUGCAUAGCUUUUCUGUCUAUCUUUGGUAGUCUUAAGUUUUUCCUUGAUGAGUUGUAUCUUUUCUAUAGUCUCUUGGACAAUCUCAAGUCCCACCAAACGACUCUCACCCAUCUCUAUCCAACACAAGGGCAAUCUAUAAGUUCUCCCAUAGAGUGCUUCAUAAGGUGUCAUGCCAAUACUAGACUAGAAACUGUUGUUAUAAGCAAACUCUGCCAAAGGUAAGUAAUCUGCCCAAUUUCCUCCAAAGUCCAAAACACAAGCCCUUAAUAUGUCUUCUAAGAUCUGGAUCACUUUUUCUGAUUGAUCAUCUGUUUAAGGGUGAAAAGCGGUGUUAAAAUUCAAUUGGGUGCCCAAAGCCAUUUGUAAACUUUGCCAAAACUGAAAAGUAAACUCAAGGUCCCUAUCAAACACUAUAGACAAAGGUAUCUCAUGCAAUCUCACAAUCUCUUAUGUAUACAACUUAGCCAAAGAGUUCAUGAAAUCAGUAGUCUUCAUGGCUAGAAAAUGAGCUGACUUAGUAAGACGGUCCACUAUCACCUAAACUCCAUUUUUCUUGCUUCUAGUUCUUGGCUACCCUAUCACAAAGUCCAUAGUGAUAUGAUCCCACUUCCACUUAGGUAUAGGUAACGUUGCAACAACCCUACAGGCCUCUAGUGUUUAGCUUUCACUUGUUGGCAAGUCUGAAAGUCAGCUACAUACUAAGCAAUAUAUCUCUUCAUCCCACUCCACCAGAACUGUCUUUUUAAGUCUUGAUACAUCUUGACAUUCCUAGGGUGGGUGGUAUAUUUUGCCCUAUGAGCAUCUACUAGAAGUUCCUUCCUCAACUUCACAUCCCUUGGCAUACAUAACCUUUCUCUAAAUCUCACACUCCCAUCUACAUGUAUAGACCAAUUUUCAUCUACUUCACAUUCUACCAACUGGGCUUUAACUUUUUCUAAAAACUCAUCAUGAACUUGGGCCUCCACUAUUCUUUGGAUAAACAUUGGUCUAGCUGAUAUACUAUACAAGCAUGGAUCCUGUCCUUUCCAACCAAGACAUAGCUCAAAAUCCUCAAUAACUGCAUGCAUCUCAAACUCUCUCAACCCUAAGCUAGACAACUGACCAUAGCUCUUCCUACUCAAGGCAUCUGUUAGAACAUUCGCCUUUCCAGGAUGGUAAUGAAAAGCAAAAUCAUAAUCUUCCAAUGUCUCCAUCCACCUCCUCUGCCUAGAGUUUAGAUCCUUUUGAGUGAAAAUGUAUUUCAAGCUCUUGUGAUCAGAGUACACCUCAAACUUCUUUCCAUACAAAUAGUGUCUCCAAGUCUUAAGGGCAAACACCACUACUGCAAGCUCCAAAUCAUGUGCUGGAUAAUUCUGCUCAUGCUGCUUUAAUUGUCUUGAGGCAUAAGCUACCACAUUGCCUUGCUGCAUUAGCACACACCCUAGCCUCACUGUAGAAGCAUCACAAUAAACCAUAAACAACUCUCCACUAAUAGGAGAAGUUAACAUUGGAGCAGUGGUCAAUUUCCGCUUCAACUCCUGGAAAGCAUUCUCAUACUCCUCAUUCCAUUCAAACUUCACUCAUUUUCUAGUCAACCGAGUCAUUGGUGCUGCAAUCCUAGAGAAGUCUUCCACAAACUUCCUAUAACAUCCAACUAACCCCAAGAAACUUCUAACCUCAAAUACAUUAGUAGGCUUUUGCCACUCCUGCACAACUUCUGAUUCACGCUUGACUUCCCAGCCGGAUCUUUUAAUCAAAAACAUUUAUAAAACCUAUGACCUUAUACUGGCGUAGCAAAGCUACUAUAGUAUAGCAGUUCUAGGGUCGAACUCAGGGAUGGGUUUUCACUCUACCAAUGAUAGACUCUAAAUUAGAAAUUGAUUCUGAUGAUUUCCUUUAGCACAAACUUGAAAUUUAAAAGAAAAUAAAAUUGUUUUGAAAGUGGUGAUUUAAACUAAACUCACAUAGAACUAAGUAAAAAGUGGAAGAAAGAAAGUCUCCCGGAGCUAAAGGUUGCUAGGUUUAAGUUCCAGAAGCAAAGUGGAAAAUUCCGGAUUUUUCUCCUCGCAUUGGGGAUUUAACCUAUAGUUAUUUCCCGAACCGGUAUAGGUUUGACAAUGAAGUUUUAAUCCAUAAAAAGUCACUAGAGAUGGUAGUCAAGGUCCAUUAAUGGCUUGAGACACUAUGGGCUAUUACCUUGAAUCACUUUCCAAUGGCUCGUACAUGAUAACUAAUGGACUGAUAUGGAUCUAGCAAUAAGCAUCCACAGAGACCUUAAGCUUACCAUGUAUUGGCCAGUCAAAGUGAUCCUAAGGGAUUUAAGGCAAAACCUUGGCUUUAGAAGCCAUUUAUGGACUCCAACUACCUGAAUUUAAUGCACGGAAACUUUCCACCUUUUAAUCUGGACUUUUCACCUAGCUUCCUUUACUCCCAGAAACUAAAUGUUUAGCCUCUCAUCCUCUGGGAAAACAUCCUCAGAGGGUGUUUGGCUUGCAAGAAAAUAGAAAAUAGAAGAGAGAAAAAGAAAGUAAAAGAGAUAUCUGUAUUUCACUAAGUAACAAAUUUACAAUAGUUGGUCUCCUGGAGAAAGCUCCCCGACGAAGAUAUCUUUUCAGUGAUUACAAGAGAAUUUAUAUAGGAAGGUAGUUUUACCCUUCCUUGGAUACUUCCUAGCUAAGGAAUUACAUGGUUGGUUGAAUACAAGGAGAAAAUGGAAAUUUAAACACAAAAAUAUCAGAAGAAAAAGAGUCGGCAAAAAUAUCCAAUUUUCGCACGCUGAGUUCCAAUUUCGCAUGUUGGUUUGAGGUGUGCGAAAUUUUCGCACAGUGGACUGAGGAUUUCGCACCUUAAACAGUGGUGUGCGAAAUUGUCCCUCAGCUUGAUGCAGUUGUCUUCUGAAGUCCAUAUCUUCCUCAUUUCAGCUCCAAAUCAUACGUGGUUUGAACCAUUGGAUUCUUGACUUUCUGAGCUUCGAAAUGGUAUAUAGAAUGUAAAGAAUGGACUUCGGGAAGUGCUCCAAAAGUGCACUAAAAGACUGCAGCUGUGUCCCCUGUUUUCAUCCCCUGUUUUCUUCUUCUCCAUUGUUUCUCCCUUGUAAACUUUGAACGAUUAAGGCAAAGGAUUAUGAGGCUCCAUAGCUUGAUUUCUUCAAAAAUCAAAGCUUCCAAAAGCUUUGCCAUGAACUAUAAAUAGCUCUCCCUCAUUCUUAAAUUGCUUUGGUGGGCAUAAAGCUAUCAAAAAGCACCAAAACUUAACACAAUUGUUAGAAAUCUGAUUGCAAGGGUCCCUAACAUGUUAAUCGAGUUAAAAGGUAAUAAUUACUACUCAAGAGUGUUUAAGAGAGCUAAUUACAAGCUACAAAAUAACAUGUUUUGAGUAGUAAUCACUCCCCCCAACCGACAUAUUGCUAGUCCCUUAGCAAUUAAAGAGAGAAAAACUAAGCAAACGUAAUAAUAUAUAUAAAAGAGGUCAUGCAAUUCAUUCCAAAAAAUAAUUGAGUGGCAUGACUGAUAUCCAAACACAUCUCACCUGGUGAACUAAAGAUAUGAAGAUUCAAAAUGCAAUAGGAGUUAUCAAAGCUUAAACUUAAACAAAAAGUACAAAGAGUGGAGAUUAUGCAAUUAAGUAUCAAAAGAAUCUCUACUCUCAAGGUUUCAAAUCAAACUCUUCCAUAAUAAGCUAAGUGUUAAUGAAAUUAGCUUCCGGAUAUAGUAUAUACAACUAUCCUCACCCUCCAACCUAAGCUUUUCUCGGAUAUUGGCAACAUUAACCAACUCUUAAUAGGUUAAGAACGCACCUUCUUAUUCACAAUUCUUUUUACUUACUAAACUUAACCAAUUCACCUAUGUAGCAAGCAGAGGAUCGAUGACUCCCAACCAAUCAAGGUUUAGGGCAUCGGGUUUUAAAGGCUUUCGCCACCCCUUCGGAUCAUGCUUAGGUUUCAAGGAAAGAAUAGAAGCUUAUUCUCUUUUUCUUUUUCUAAGACUCAUUGGUCUUUUUCUAAGACUCAUUGGUCUUUAUGAGGUGUCCCAAUACUAUUAAAAAGAGGUUAAGUAAUAAACCAAGUCAAAAUUUUCCUAAGCUUAGAAAGUGAGAAAGUUUUACAUCUUAUAUCCGGGAUCUAAUGUGCACAGUGUGUGUAAAGCUCGAAAUGGAAGAAGAAAGUUCAAAAUCAAAGAGGCUUCAAUAGAUUAUCAACUUUGAAAGCAUAAAACAAACUCUAAGACUUAAAUAAUUAAGUUAAAACUCGACUUAUCCUAUUUUAUUUUUGAGAAAUUAUCUUUAACAACCAGAGAGAAUGAUUCAAAAAAACUUUUAAAAAUUUUAAAUUUUAAGCAAAAAUCAACUAAAAUACCAAAAUAACUUAAUAUUGACAACAAAACUUCCUUUCUCAAUUCUCCCCCCCAACCAAGUUGAACAUUGUCCCCAAUGUUUCAAAAGCGAUUAAAAAUAAAGGGAGGAAGUGGUACAUCCUGAGUGAGACAAAGUCUGAGUGUAAAGGAGGUAUGGAGUACCUUAAACCACAUGUUCCAAGGACAAAAGAGUAAUGAGAAAAGGGAAUAUAAUCAAAAAGGAUAUAUAUAUAUAUAUAUAUAUUACUUGUAAAAGAAAUAUACAAUGUAUGAUUUCAAGUAAUACUUCCAAUCCCAAUUUAUAACACAUGCAAAAGAUGGGAUUUACAAGUCUAAAAUAAAAAACAAGUAAAACAUAAAAAGAUCAGAUAUGAGUGGGGUCAUGUGAUGGCUCUGCUCUGAUCUCCUCCUCUGGUAUAGGCUGCUCAGCUGGCAAGCUCUCCUCAUCUGGCACUAGAGGCUCGGAUGGUGCAGACCUAUCAUGCCCAAGAGGAGUCUGCAUACUCAGAUGCUGCUGAAUCUGAUGAAGGAUCGUGGUAUGCUGGGCCUGAGUAGCAAUGAUCUGAUCCUGGUGUGCCCGAAUAGUGGCCAUCUGGUGGAUAAUAGAAUCCUGAGCAGUGCUCAGUGUCCGCAAUGAACGCUCUAAGCUUCUGAAUUCCGUAAGAGAAACGGUGACAGUGGGCUCAGAUGAAGGAGGAGGUGCUGGGGUAGCUGGUACGACUGGUGGAGCACCCUGAGUGAUAGGGGAGGUAGAAUGUAUAGCCUCGGGCAUGUGCACUGAGGGGUGUGCUGCAGGGGCAGGAGGUGGUGUCUCUGUGAGAAUCUCAUCCUGCUGGGCCUGAGGUAUCUGCUCAUCUCGGGGUAGCUCUGGAGGUGCAUGUAUAGCUGGGGCUCCCUGAGGUGCAAAGUAGGCUACCAAGUGAUGCCAUUUGUCGAGAGAGAAGUCCUCUCGGCAAUGGCGGCGCCUCUCAAGACGGGGCUCUUCAGGAUAGCCCAAGUGCUCUAAAAUCUGGCAGAGGAGCCUCGAAAAUAGUAAUGGGAUGCCAUCUGCCCUCUGAAGCUUCUUCUGAUGGACUUUCUCUUCAAAAUGAAGAAGAGAAGUCAUAAUCAAAUGAUGAGGCCCGAAGAAAUAGCCCUCAGAAAUCCUGAAUAAUGCCUCAAGUAUAGCUCCUCUCCUCUGAACCUUAUGCUGAAGGGGGAAUAGGUUGGCACGCAGGAGCACAUCAAUGAGGAGCAUCCCAGAUGGAAGCUCUCUCCUGGUCAAUACCGAGGCUGUAGAAGUCCCCCUGGACAAAAUACGGACCAUGUCACUCUGAGAGAAUGAGGACCACUCCCUGAAAUCUGCCUGAAACACGGGCUCAUAAGGUAUAUGGAGGGCCUCAGCAAUGUGACGAGCUCCAAUGGCACCCUGACGUCCGUCUAUAGUAAACUGGAUGAGGGUAGGAUUGCGGAGACCUCGAGUAGUCAUAGAUUGAUAAAAAUCUAUAACUACUCUGGGAUAGUAGAAUUGCCUAGGAGUGAGAAAAGACUCCAUGUGAUACCUCUGCAGCAGUCGGAAUGAAUCUCUGAGCUUUGGCUGCUGUCUGAGGGCCUCUAUAUCAAAGUAGGUCUCGGAAUGAAAUGAUCUAUCUCUGCAAUCCAAGUUACCCUCAAUCGGCGGUCCAGCUAUCAUGGGACGCCUGAUAAUGGCCUCGAGAGGCAUGUCCACUGGAAUCCGAGGUUCCUCUGUAGCUGGCUCUGGCUGAGGUGCGUGGGAUGGCUCUCCAGGACCCGAGAACCUGGUCCUCUUCGCAGGGGGCCGAGAAACAGAGCUCGCGGCUUGCUCGGCUGGUGGCACAGGUUCCGUGGGUGGCCUCCGGGUGGGGUAUCGACGCUGAGAAGGAACUUCCCCCUCAGAUGGGGGAAUGGUCGGGGCCUGAACAGGAGGUGAAGGUGCGACUCCCAUGGCGGCUCGCUGUGGUCGAGGGGUCAGUGAGGAUGGGGAGGCGGAAAGGCCUCCUCUGGUCUUCACCAUGGCCGAAAUGACGGAAUGUGGGUGCUCGAGGUUCCAGAGGCUUUUCUGCUGACAGGUGGGGGAGUCCUUUGAGCUUCUAGACCUCAAAGGUUUAUAUAGGACUGAGGUUUAAGGGAUUUCUGAUGCUUUAAAAUUUUCCAAGGCAGCCGAAAAGUCGUUUUUGGACAUUAGGCACAAUUUCGGGGGUAAAAUUUUAAUUUAAAAGUCCGUUUUAAAUUUUUAGAACUUAGAAUUUUACCGUGCGAAAUUUUCGCACCUUGGUCUGUCCAUUUCGCACCUUGGAAUUGGGUGUGCGAAAAUGGCACCCUUUUUUGCUGAAGAUUUCGCACCUUAAAAGGAGGUGUGCGAAAUUUUCGCACCUUGAAUAGUGGUGUGCGAAAUUUUCGCACACUGUUUCGCACCGUGCGAAAAUGAGCUUGAGGUGUGCGAAAUUCACACACGUGUGCUAGGAGAGGAUUUCGCACCGUGCGAAAAUUUUCGCACCUUCCACAGUGGUGUGCGAAAUUGGAUUUUAGGAAAUUCGCACCUUGAAAACGGAUUUCGCACCUUGAAAUUGAUUUCGCACCUUGAGGUAGGGGUGUGCGAAAUAUUCUUCCUUUGGUCCAAGGAUUUCGCACCUUGGUUUUGGGUGUGCGAAAUUUUCGCACCUUGAAAUCAGGUGUGCGAAAAUUUGGCACCUUGAAAUUAGGUGCUCUGUUUCCUUGGCUUUUCUCCCCUUGGCUGCUUUUGACGAGCUCUCCCCAUCUUUCAUGAUUUUUUUUUCUGAAAUUUAUCAUCAAAAUUAACUUGAAUUAAGACAAUAUAAACUAAGAUUAGGAGAAAAUUAAAAUAUAAAGAAAUAAAAAUACUAAUAUAACUAUAAAACUAUAACAAAAAAUUCAUGGACUUCUUUAGCCCAUGAUACCCUGCUUUUCCUCAAAGUUGUGGUGGUUCAAGGAGGUUGAUCUCCUCCUUGUCUGUACUGUAAGGCUUUAAGAAUGGCUUGAGACGAUGACCAUUGACUUUGAAGGUUUGAUUGCCUGUGGGAUUGAAUAUUUCCAACACUCCGUUGGGAUGCACUUCAUGAAUUAUGAAAGGACCCGUCCACCUUGAUUUCAAUUUACCUGGAAAGAGAUGAAGUUUAGAGUCAUAAAGCAAAACUUUUUGUCCUUUGGUAAAAUUCUUCUGAUUUACCAACUGAUCAUGCCAUUUUUUCAAUCUUGCUUUUGCAAUUUUUGAAUUGAGGUAUGCAUCAUUCCUCAAUUCCUCUAAUUCAUUCAAAUCUAAACAUCUCUUUAACCCGGCUCUUGACAAAUCCAUGUUCAGCUUUUUGAUUGCCCACCAUGCUUUAUACUCAAUUUCCACUGGAAGGUGACACGCUUUGCCAUAAACAAGGCGAUAGGGAGACAUUCCUAGAAUGGUCUUGUAAGCGGUCCUAUAAGCCCAUAAGGAAUCCAGGAGCUUGAUAGACCAAUCCUUCCUAUUCACAUUGACCACCUUCAUCAAUAUAUUCUUGAUCUCACGGUUGGCUAACUCAACUUGGCCACUAGUUUGAGGGUGAUAAGGUGUAGCUACCUUGUGCUUAACCCCAUAUUUGGCUAGAAGAGUCUCAAAAGGUUUAUUGCAAAAGUGGGUUCCCCCGUCACUUAUAAUGGCCUUUGGCACUCCAAAUCUUGCAAAGAUGUUGUCCUUGAGGAAUUUAAGUACCACUUUAUGAUCAUUGCUCCUACAUGGGAUUGCCUCUACCCACUUAGAGACAUAAUCCACUCCUACCAAGAUGUAGGAAUGUCCAAAUGACAUUGGAAAUGGUCCCAUAAAGUCUAUACCCCAGACAUCAAAGAUAUCCACUAUUAAGAUGGGGUUCAAGGGCAUCAUAUUUCGGCGUGUUAGCUUACCAAGCCUUUGACACCGAUCACAUGCCUUACACAUAGAAUGGGCAUCCUUGAAAAGAGAGGGCCACCAGAAGCCUGAUUGGAUCACUUUCAUUGUUGUUUUCUGGGAGGCAAAAUGACCUCCACAAGCACUAUCAUGGCAAUGGGAGAGAAUUCCCGAUUGCUCUUGCUCAGGAACACAUUUCCUUAUAAUUUGAUCUGCACAAUAUUUGAAAAGAAAAGGUUCCUCCCAAUAAUAGGCAUGGAUCUUAGCCAAGAAAUGCCUCUUGUCUUGAGCACUCCACUCACUUGGUACUUCUCCAGUAACCAAAAAGUUUGCAAUGUGAGAAUACCAUGGAGCUAAAUCUACUGACAUGAGAGACUCCUCAGGGAAGUCAUCAUUGAUAGGUAGACCAUGUGAGUCAUGUGCUAUCACUAGUCUGGACAAGUGGUCAGCUACCACAUUUUCUACCCCCUUUUUAUCCCUGAUUUGGAGAUUGAAUUCUUGGAGCAAAAGAAUCCAUCUUAUCAAUCUUGCCUUGGCAUCCUGCUUGGUUAGCAAGUACUUCAAAGCAGAAUGGUCAGUGAACACUACUAUAGAGGACCCUACCAAAUAAGCACGAAACUUAUCCAAGGCAAAAACUACAGCCAACAACUCCUUCUCAGUAGUUGUGUAGUUCUUUUGAGCCUCAUUCAAAGUUCUGCUUGCAUAAUAGAUCACAUAGGGCUUUCCAUCUUCUCUUUGCCCUAAAACAGCCCCCAUAGCAAGAUCACUUGAAUCACACAUUACCUCGAAAGGUAAUUUCCAAUUUGGGGCUCUCACUAUUGGUGCAGUUGUGAGGAAUUGCUUCAAUUCCUCAAAACUUCUCUGACACUUCUCAUCCCACACAAACUUGGCAUCCUUUACCAAAAGCUCACACAGAGGUUUUGAGAUUUUUGAGAAAUCCUUAAUGAACCUCCUAUAGAAUCCUGCAUGUCCAAGGAAUUGCCUAAUUCCUUUAACAUUUGUGGGAGGUGGCAACUUAACAAUAAGUUCCACCUUUGCCUUAUCUACCUCAAUGCCAUUUUUGGAGAUGAUAUGUCCUAAGACAAUUCCUUUUUGUACCAUAAAAUGGCACUUCUCCCAAUUUAGCACUAGGUCUUUCUCAAUACAUCUAUGGAGAACAGCUUCUAAAUGCAUCAAACACUCCUCAUAAGAACUUCCAUAUACAGUGAUGUCAUCCAUGAAAACUUCCAUGAUGCGUUCGACCAUGUCACUGAAGAUGCUUAGCAUGCAUCUUUGGAAAGUUGCAGGAGCAUUACAUAGACCAAAGGGCAUUCUCCUAUAUGCAAAAGUACCAAAGGGACAAGUGAAGGUUGUCUUUUCUUGAUCUUCCAAAUCAAUUUCUAUUUGGAAGUACCCUGAAUAACCAUCUAGAAAACAAUAGAAAGGAUGUCCUGAGACUCUCUCAAGGACUUGGUCCAUGAAAGGCAAUGGAAAAUGGUCCUUCCUAGUCACUGAAUUCAACCUUCUAUAGUCUAUACACACCCUCCAUCUUGAGGUAGGACGUGUAGAGACUUCCUCCCCUUUCUCAUUCUGGAUCACAGUGAUUCCAGAUUUCUUUGGGACUACUUGGGUGGGACUCACCCACAAACUGUCUGAAAUGGGAUAUAUGAUCCCAGCUUGAAGUAGCUUCAAAACUUCACUCCUCACCACCUCUUGCAUGUGAGGAUUCAGUCUCCUUUGGGGCUGCCUCACUGGUUUUGCAUCAUCCUCCAUAUAAAUAUGGUGGGUGCACACCAAAGGGCUAAUCCCUUUUAGAUCAGAAAUUUGCCAUCCAAUGGCUUUCUUACAUUUUCUGAGGACUCCUAAAAGACUAUCCUCUUGAUCACUUGUGAGGGUUGAGGAAACCACCACUGGACAUUUCUCAUCAUCCUCCAAGUAUGCAUACUUCAACUCCACAGGAAGUGGCUUUAAAAUAAGCUUUGGAGGGUCCUCCACAGCAACUCCUUGUGAGUCUUACUGGUUGAACAGUGCUAAGAUCUCUUCCCGUCUCCUCCAAGGAGACAUAAUGGCUAGCACAUCAGAGGGUUCAGGGAACCCAUCUUCAAGGACUUCCAGGUUUUCAUUCAAGCUCUCCUCUAAACUCUUGUCACAGUGCUCUUCAACCAAAGUGUUGAUCAAGCAUACUUCCUCAAAUCCUUCUUCCUCUUCAGGGUAAAGAUGCCUCUUACAUAAGUGGAAUAUGUUUACUUCCAAAGUCAUGUUUCCAAAUGUGAGCUGCAUCACCCCAUUCCUACAGUUAACGAUGGCAUUUGAGGUAGCUAGAAAAGGCCUCCCUAGGAUGAUUGACACAUAAUUUUCUUCCUUGACAGAGGAAUCAGUAUCAAGCACCACAAAAUCCACAGGAUAGUAGAAUUUGUCCACUUGAACUAGAACAUCCUCUAUCACACCCCUUGGGAUUUUGACUGACCUAUCAGCUAAAGAGAGGGUCAUGGUUGUAGGCUUUAACCUCCUAGUCCCAGUUGUUNNNNNNNNNNNNNNNNNNNNNNNNNNNNNNNNNNNNNNNNNNNNNNNNNNNNNNNNNNNNNNNNNNNNNNNNNNNNNNNNNNNNNNNNNNNNNNNNNNNNGACCUCUCUCAAAAUUGAAAGACUCACCAUCUGGGGUUUCAACUUCAUGAACACCCUUGGGGAUUUUGGCUUGGUUGAGAGGGGAACUUUCCCUUCUCAAUCACUGUGUUUAGGUUGGUAAGCCUAGAGAUGGAGUACUGAAUAUUAUCUAUCUUCUGAGAUAGAUCAUUUUGCAUCCCCUCCAUUCUUUUAAUUUGAGAACUCUCAACAUUUUCAAUCUUUUGAUGCAAUUGGGAGUUGAUUGCCUUUUGUUCACCCACAAAGUCACCCAUGACUUUACUCAGGUUUACAAUGGCUUGCUCCACUGAAGAUGGUUGCUGAGGUGCUUGGGUUUGGCCUUGUGGUUGGUAUGGAGGUGGUCUUGGUUUCCAAGAAAAAUUUGGGUGGUUUCUCCAGCUUGAAUUAUAGGUGUUUCCAUAAGAUGCACUGUUGUUGGGCCUAAAUUGCCCCACAACAUUUACUUGAUCACCUAACAUCUCUCUCACAGCUGGCAUGGUUGGACACUCAUCUACCACAUGAUCACAUGAUUGGCAAAUGGUGCAUGGCAUGGCAUGGGCUUGAGUUUCGGAAAUAGCUUGGACUUCAUGCAUCUUUUUCAACUCAAGUUCUUCCAACCUCCUUGCUAUUGUUGCCACCUUAGCUUUAAUGUCCACGUCUUCACUCAACAUGUACAUUCCAGCCUUUGGAUUUUGGGUUUGUUGAGAGGGAAAUUUUCCUUUCUCUCUUGAGUUGGGCUCAUCCCAUCCUCUUGACACCUCAGCCACGUAACUUAAGAAGUCCAUGGCUUCCUCAGGAUUCUUACUCAUAAAAUCUCCCCCACACAUGGUUUCAAGAAUUUGCUUCAUAGAAGAGGACAUUCCAUCAUAAAAAUAGCUCACUAAGAGCCAUGUAUCGAAACCAUGAUGAGGACAAGCAUUGAUGGCUUCCAUAUACCUUUCCCAACACUCAUGAAACUUCUCAUUUUCUUUAGCAGAAAAAUUUGAGAUUUGCCUUUUCAACCCAUUGGUCCUAUGGGUGGGGAAAUUUUUUUUCAAAAAUUCAGCCUGAAGAUCCACCCAAUUCCUUAUGCUUCUUGGCCUUAAAGAAUUAAGCCAUAUUUUUGCCUUGUCCUUUAAAGUGAAAGGGAAUAGCUUGAGUCUCAUCAAGUCUAUUGAAGCUCCUCCCUCUCUAAAAGUAUUACAUACCUCCUCAAAUUCCUUAAUGUGAGAAUAUGGAUUCUCACUCUCCAUUCCAUGGAAAGUUGGUAGGAGGGGUACAAUAUGGGGUCUUAUAACCAACUGCUCAAGAGGGGGCAGGAUGCAUGAGGGUGCACUCAUCCUUGGGGGAUGCAUUCUAUCCCUCAUGGAUAGAUAUGCAUUGGGAUUACCCCCUUGACCUUGUUGAGAAUUCUGAUCCUCUGGUGGAGGGUCCAUGAUAUUUACACAGAUAUCCAACUCUGUGUCUUGAGGAUUCUCAAUCCUUACUAAUCUUCCCUCUUGGUCCCUAAUCCAAUAGGGCAUGCACAAGUUACAAUUCCUGUAAUAGUAAAAACAAAAAGGAAACUAAAGAAAAGGUUAAAGUUAGGAAGAAAAUGAAAAUAAAAUUAACAAAAAGAAAAUGAAAGAAAAUGAAGUUAGUGAAAAAGGAAUUCACCCUGGUUGUGAUGAAAAUCACAAGUAGCCUCUAAAAGGUUGUAUCACUGUAUUGUGGCACCAUCCCCGGCAACGGCGCCAUUUGAUUCACGCUUGACUUCCCAGUCGGAUCUUUUAAUCAAAAACAUUUAUAAAACCUAUGACCUUAUACUGGCGUAGCAAAGCUACUAUAGUAUAGCAGUUCUAGGGUCGAACUCAGGGAUGGGUUUUCACUCUACCAAUGAUAGACUCUAAAUUAGAAAUUGAUUCUGAUGAUUUCCUUUAGCACAAACUUGAAAUUUAAAAGAAAAUAAAAUUGUUUUGAAAGUGGUGAUUUAAACUAAACUCACAUAGAACUAAGUAAAAAGUGGAAGAAAGAAAGUCUCCCGGAGCUAAAGGUUGCUAGGUUUAAGUUCCAGAAGCAAAGUGGAAAAUUCCGGAUUUUUCUCCUCGCAUUGGGGAUUUAACCUAUAGUUAUUUCCCGAACCGGUAUAGGUUUGACAAUGAAGUUUUAAUCCAUAAAAAGUCACUAGAGAUGGUAGUCAAGGUCCAUUAAUGGCUUGAGACACUAUGGGCUAUCACCUUGAAUCACUUUCCAAUGGCUCGUACAUGAUAACUAAUGGACUGAUAUGGAUCUAGCAAUAAGCAUCCACAGAGACCUUAAGCUUACCAUGUAUUGGCCAGUCAAAGUGAUCCUAAGGGAUUUAAGGCAAAACCUUGGCUUUAGAAGCCAUUUAUGGACUCCAACUACCUGAAUUUAAUGCACGGAAACUUUCCACCUUUUAAUCUGGACUUUUCACCUAGCUUCCUUUACUCCCAGAAACUAAAUGUUUAGCCUCUCAUCCUCUGGGAAAACAUCCUCAGAGGGUGUUUGGCUUGCAAGAAAAUAGAAAAUAGAAGAGAGAAAAAGAAAGUAAAAGAGAUCUCUGUAUUUCACUAAGUAACAAAUUUACAAUAGUUGGUCUCCUGGAGAAAACUCCCCGACGAAGAUAUCUUUUCAGUGAUUACAAGAGAAUUUAUAUAGGAAGGUAGUUUUACCAUUCCUUGGAUACUUCCUAGCUAAGGAAUUACAUGGUUGGUUGAAUACAAGGAGAAAAUGGAAAUUUAAACACAAAAAUAUCAGAAGAAAAAGAGUCGGCAAAAAUAUCCAAUUUUCGCACGCUGAGUUCCAAUUUCGCAUGUUGGUUUGAGGUGUGCGAAAUUUUCGCACAGUGGACUGAGGAUUUCGCACCUUAAACAAUGGUGUGCGAAAUUGUCCCUCAGCUUGAUGCAGUUGUCUUCCGAAGUCCAUAUCUUCCUCAUUUCAGCUCCAAAUCAUACGUGGUUUGAACCAUUGGAUUCUUGACUUUCUGAGCUUCGAAAUGGUAUAUAGAAUGUAAAGAAUGGACUUCGGGAAGUGCUCCAAAAGUGCACUAAAAGACUGCAGCUAUGUCCCCUGUUUUCAUCCCCUGUUUUCUUCUUCUCCAUUGUUUCUCCCUUGUAAACUUUGAACGAUUAAGGCAAAGGAUUAUGAGGCUCCAUAGCUUGAUUUCUUCAAAAAUCAAAGCUUCCAAAAGCUUUGCCAUGAACUAUAAAUAGCUCUCCCUCAUUCUUAAAUUGCUUUGGUGGGCAUAAAGCUAUCAAAAAGCACCAAAACUUAACACAAUUGUUAGAAAUCUGAUUGCAAGGAUCCCUAACAUGUUAAUCGAGUUAAAAGGUAACAAUUACCACUCAAGAGUGUUUAAGAGAGCUAAUUACAAGCUACAAAAUAGCAUGUUUUGAGUAGUAAUCAACUUCCACUUUGGAAUGGUCCACUACUAUUCCCGCCUCAGAAACCACAUGGCCUAAGAAAUUCGCUUCAGUAAGCCAAAACUCACUUUUGUCCAAUUUCCUAUACAAUUGAUGUCUUCUUAAAGUUCUAAGGGUGGUCACCAUAUGCUGCUUAUGCUUCUUUAAAUUCCUGGAGUAAAUCAAGAUGUCAUACACAACAAUCAUAAACUGAUCCAAGUAAGCACAAAUUAUUCUAUUCAUUAAAUCCAUGAAAGCAGUGGGGACAUUAGUUAACCCAAAAAGCAUGACUAAGAAUUCAUAAUGCCCAUAUCUUGUUCUAAAAGCAGUUUUAGGGACAUCUUCUUCUCUAACCCUCAAUUGAUGAUACCUAGUUCUCAAGUCAAUCUUACUAAAAUACUUCGCACAUUUCAACUGAUCAAACAAGUCAUCUAUCCUUGGAAGAUGAUACUUAUUCUUCAUGGUAACUCUAUUCAACUUCCUAUAGUCAAUGCACAACCUCAAGGUGCCAUCCUUCUUUUUCACAAACAACAUUGGGGCUCCCCAUGGCGAUGUACUUGGACGAUAAAACCCUUACUCAGCAAUUCCUCCAACUGAGUUUUCAACUCCUUCAACUCAAGAGGGGCCAUCCUAUAGGGGGAUACUGAAAUAGGAUCCGUUCCUGGGUAUAGUUCAAUAGAGAAAUCAAACUCUCUAUGUGGUGGUAAGCUUGACAACUCAUCUGGGAAUACAUCCUAAAACUUUCUCACCAUUGGAAUUUUUGUAAUAUCCUUCUAGGCUUUCUCUUUACUACAAAGACAAGCUAGGAAAUUUAUUGAUCUAUUCCUCAACANNNNNNNNNNNNNNNNNNNNNNNNNNNNNNNNNNNNNNNNNNNNNNNNNNNNNNNNNNNNNNNNNNNNNNNNNNNNNNNNNNNNNNNNNNNNNNNNNNNNGAAGCUAGGAAAUUUAUUGAUCUAUUCCUCAACACGUACUGAUAGCACGAAUCGGACUAUGAAAGAGGAAAACUAACACAUUUCCCUCUAACAAAGCAAACCUCAAAUCCAUCUAGCAGAAAAAAAAUUAUCCUACGGCAAUGACAAUCAAUAAGGGCUCUAUAUAUCGUCAACCAAUCCAUUCCCAAGAUAACAUCAUACCCAGUCAUAUCCACAAUCCUCAAAUCCACCUUAAGUGCUCUAUCUGCCAAGGUAAUAAUGCACCCCUUGCAUAGUCUAUCAACUCUACAAUUCGUACCCAUAGGAGACUCGAUAAGUAAUAGAUUUUAUACUUUUUUCGUUUUCAACCCCAAAGCAUUAACACAAGAUGCAGAAAUGAAAGAAUCAGUUGCGCUAAUACCAAACAAAACAUGCACCCAAGUAUUAUAUACAAAAAUUAUACCUUCCACCAAAAGAACGUCAUCCUCUAGCUCUGUUGGGGUCAAGGUAAAAACUCUUCCUGUUGCCUACCUCCUCCUACCUCUAGCAUUCGACCCUUGAGAAGAACGGGUCUGACUACUCAUGGUAAUUGUCCUGAUUCCAUGCAUUGCUGGGGGUAAAUGCGGCAUUUGGUAGUAAGGUAACCUAAACUGAGGGGGUUGGAAAGACAUUAUUGGCUGUUGUUGGGAACCUUCCUGAGAUUGAGGUCGAGUCUAUUGUGCGCCCCACAAUGGGCAAGCCCUCCAUAAGUGGUCUCUCAUUCCACAACCAUAACAUACUCUAGCAGUAGCCACUCUCUGAGCAUUCUGCUCACCUCCUGAAUAGAACAAAGAAUGUCUCUCAAAUUGUUGACCCAUUGCCUUUGCUGCGGGCCCUAGGAUCUCCUCUGGGAACUUUCCCCUAUUCUUUGUUUCCCUUUUCUAUCUCUCAUUUGCUCCCGAAUUUGAUUGGUUUCCUUAAUGUCUUGCUCCACCAACAAAGCCCUCUUGACCAACUCAGAAUAGUCCCUUAUAGCCAGUGGGACUAAUCUAUUUCUAAUAGCAGGUCUCAACCCCUGUUGGAACCUCCUAGCCUUUUCUUCUUCCUCAUUAAUCAUCCCCAAGGCAAAUCGGGACAACUCUGAAAAAUGAGACUCAUACUCCAGCAUCAACAUAGUUCCUUGGAUGAGGUGCUCAAACUCCAUCUUCUUGGCAUGCUUAGCCACCUCUCCACAAUAUUUGCUUAGGAAGAUUCUCUCAAAUUCUUCCCAAGUCAUCACCUCUAUGUCGUACACUUUUUUCACUGAUUCCCACCAGAAAUCAGCUUUGUCACCAAGCAUGUAUACCGCUAGACUUACCCUCCUUUCCUCAGGUAUGUCCAGCCCCACCAGAAUUCUUUUCAUCCUCCUCAAACAAUGCUCAACUGCUUCCGCAUUGGGCUCUCCAUUAAAAGAUGGAGGUUGCAUCACCAUGAAUCUCUUCAUCACCUUUAUCUGGCUCAUUACUGGCCUCUUAGAGCGGCUCUUCCUGUGAGAGUGAUUUGAAUCCUCUUGGCCCUGGGUACCUCCAAACCUCAUGGAACCCUGGUCUCUCAUCAACUAGGCAGUCUCUCUCAACUCCCUUCUUACUUCUCGGAGUUCUUCUCUUACCCUUCUCUUACCGACUCCAACUCCUCAUCUCUCUCAAAUCUUCCGCUUCAUGUCUUUCCCGCCAUUUCAAAUUGAAUAAGCCUUAAUUCAACCACACUACCCAGGUGAGCAAAAUAAAUUCACAUAUAACCAUUUAGAAACUUCAACAACUAUCAAAACUUUCACUUUCCUACAAUCACAAUACAUAAUUCAACAUAAUUAACACCAUAAUGUUUUUUACUAUCAUCAACAAGCACCAUUAGAAGGUUUUACAAACAUUAAGAAUCAACAGUUAAAUAAUUCAAUUAAUAAUCAGUUCGUUAGCUAAUAUAUACAGAAAAAUCAUAACAUAACCAACAUAACAAUACACAUAAACACCCACAAACACUGACCCCAAGGUAUCAUUGUAACAUUGGCUCUGAUACUACGUUGUCACGACCUAAAUUUCGGGCAACUCAAAAUUUGGCCCAUGACCCCAGGUUAAAGGUUUGAUCCUAAGGGUUUCUCAUACUCCACGUUGGCAAUCAACCAAAACACUUUGAAUUUUUUUUUCUCCACGUAUAAACCACACUAGAGUUCCCACCAACUAACAACAUACUAAUCAAUACUCAAAAGCAAUAAGAUAUAAUAGUUAUCAUUACAGUCCAAAAAUAAAAGUUCACAGUUAAACAAUUUAAUAAAAAUAGGGUUUCAUUACAAAUCCAUAGUUCACAGUUUACUAAAACAAGUCCCAAAACCAUAAACACAAUAAAUACAACACGUUCCACUAGGUCGCUCCAAGGGCAUCCUAAAGUCCUCCUUGCCCCACCUGUGGAUCCUCAAGAGUGAUAUCUGCAUCUAAAAAUAUGUAAAAAGGAAGGGGUGAGCAUUCUACAUUGCUUAGUAGGGUGCCUAACACCAAAGGGUUAAUGGGGAUUACUAAGUUUCAAAAGAACAUAAAAGAAGCAUUUCAACAACACUGAUCAAGCCACAUAAUUUAAUCUCUAUAAUUAUAUACAAUUCCACAAUAUUCAACAAUUAAAUGAAAUGCAUAUGAAAGUCUAACACACAGUCAUACAAUGUACUGUCGUUCUCGGGCUUUCAUCGAAUGAUAUGCGUCUGCACCCAAAUACACUCCCCAUUCGGAGUCUUCUCGGGGUAAACUUUUGGGUCUUUCACCCUAGGAAUCUCUCUCAUUUCUUAAUUCGCCUCACACGGGCCUUUACUUUUCAUCACUAUUCAUUUUUCUCUUUCUUUUGCCAUUUCAUGCAUUUUUCAUAGUUUUUAUCAUUUCUUUACACAACCAUGAUGCAAAUGCAUGCCAUGAGGUUAAUUACUCUCAUUCAUAUGUAUCACCAAUAUCAUCGGAAUUACAAUCAUGCCACAAUUCCAAAAUUUCCCAACAAUUCCAAUAAUCCCAAUAAUCCAAUAUAAUUAUUUUCCCACAAUAAAAUCAUAAAAAAUAUUCCAACAAUUUCUCAAAAAUUGACAUAUCAAUAAAUUAUAACUUAUACCACAAUUUUAUAAUUUUCCAACCAUUCCAAUAAUUUCCAAUAAUCAAACAUGAUUAUUUUUUCACAAUAAAAUCACCAAAAACAUUCCAACAAUUUCUCAAAAAUUUACAUUUCAAUAAAUUAUAACAUAUACUACAAUUUUAUAAUUUUCCAACCAUUCCAAUAAUUUCCUAUAAUUAAACAUAAUUAUUUUUCCACAAUAUAAUCACAAAAAUAUUCUAACAAUUUCUCAAAAAUUCACAUAUCAAUAAAUUAUAACAUAUACCACAAUUUUAUAAUUUUCCAACCAUUCCAAAAAUUUUAACAACUCGAAAACAACCAUUUAUUAACCAAACAAAAUUUACCAAAAUCACAAAAACUCCAAAAAAAAUCCCAAUCAUCCAAUAAAAUUCCUACAACAGAAAUAUUACCUAUUUAACUCAAAAUGACAAGAUCUACAAAUGUUUUUCUAAGGAAAAACACAUUUAAUUAAAGUUUUAGGGUUAGGUUCCCCUACCAUAGAUCUAUGAAUCAAACCGUUAAAAUCAAGAUCGGCCACCAUAGAAUUGUUCAUCUCGUCGAGUAGAACACCUCCUCAAAUUUUUAUACGAAACGGACGACGUUAGAUUGUCCAAAUGACCGGCCAAAGAUCUGGCGGAAAGACUUUCUCCACAGUCGCCGAGAACUCUCUCUUUUCUAGCACUUUCUAAUGCCUUUUCCUUUUCCUUUUCCUUUUUAAAAAACCCAAUUCAUUUUUUUUUUUAACCACUAGCCACCACAAGCCCAUAGCCUAACCAAACAACCUUUUGAAUUAUUUUCUUUUAUUUAUUUGUUUUGCUUAUUUUUCAUUUCAUUUCCAAUUCACUUCAUUUUUUUUAACAACACACAAAAUGAUUUAUUAAACACUAACCCAAAAAUUUAAUUUUUCUCAAAUUUAUUAUUAAACAAUUUAAUUUAAUUUUUACUUAAUUAGUUCAGAUUAAUUUUAAUUAUUUCAUUUUUCAUUUUUCGUUUUCUAAAAUUUUCAAUUUCUAUAAUCCUAAGAAAUUUUCUAUCAUAAGGUUGACGUGACACAAAAUUUUCAACUCGCCUAAUUGACCAACAAAAUAAUUCAAAUUUCACCAAUCCAAAAUUAUCACGUGUUCUCCUAUCACUUUUUUUUUUGACUUUAUAACCAUCACUCAAAAUAAGACUUUUCAAACUAAAAAUUAUAAUGUGGCCUAAAAUACCCGGUCAUUACACAACAUCUAUGAAACAUAUAUCUAGUCCUUCAGAGACUAUUAAACUUAUCAAGUAUCGAAAUGUGAUUGCGUUCAUUAUAGAGGAAUAAGUUUCCUCAUAAUUUAUACUAGGUCUUUGCAAGAAACCUUAAGCAACAAGUUGUGAUUUAUAUUUUGUAAUUUCAUCAUUCUUAUUUUGCUUUCUCACAAAGACCCAUUUAUAUAUAACAGACUUGAUGUUUUCAAGUGUUUGAACUAUAGGUCCAAAUGGUGCAAGUAGAAUCAUUUUAGAUUUUGAAAGAUUGAGAAAGGGUUAAAUGAGGAAAUAAGUGAGUCAAGACUCAUGGACCAUGAGGAAAGGCAAAACGAGGAUAUCAUGAGUUUGUAAGAUGAUAAAUGACCAUUAUUGAGUAAAAAAUAAGGCAAGAAAACAUGGGAAAUGAGGCAUGAAGCAAGAUUUAGCUGCAUGGAAAUUUAUAAAUCUAAUGGAAACAUAUACUCUGACUUUGAGAACAAAUUUUGAGUACUUAACAGAGUCCAUUUUAUACAUACUAUAUAGAUUUUCAAAGAUUGGGAAGUUAGGAGUCCAACGCUUCAAACGGUGUACAAAUCGAAGUUGAAAUGAAGAAGUUAUGGUCAUUUGAAGACAACUGCACAAAGUUGAAGGGCCAUUUCAAAAUGAUUUUGAAAUUCAACUUAUAAAUUUGAAAUCCAACUUAUGAAUUUGAAAUCCAAUUCAAAAUGACCCCAAUUUCAAAUUCACCCACUUCCACUUUGAUGUUUUGUCUCCUCUACCUCAGGAAUUGUAUCUAGAGCACUCCAUCUGCCUUAAGUGGGCCCUAUAUGAUUAGAAAUCACCAUUUUAUUAUUUGUUUAGUCAUUUUUAGGUAAUUGUUUUGUAAUAAGUGGCUAAUGAGAGUGUGCCACAUGUUAGGUAAUUGAUGAUAUUAUAUAAACUCUUUUAGUUCUAGGUUUUAAAAAUCUUGGAUCUUUUUCUAGAGUUUUUGACAUUGAAGGUGGAAGAAGACGAGAACUUUGGUUUGUUUUCUUUUUCUUUAUUAAAUAUAUUGUUUUUAGUUUCUUUUUAUUCAAAUUAUGGAUUUUUACCAUGGAUUGUGAAUGUGACAUCACCCCCAUGAGAGGCUAAGAAGCCAACUUGGAGCUUGAAACAUGAAAACCUAAGGGCUAGGAAACCUAUAGGGACAAUGGGUAAAUUAUUAUAGUAAUGAGAUUAAUUAUUGGUUGGGUGACAAUUUAUCAAUUUUUAUUUUUAUUUUUUUAUCUUAUCCUUGUGAGUUAGUUUAGGGAAUGAUAUGGUAGGUUAUUACCUGAUACUAGUGAUUCUUGGUAAUUAUUGAUUAUUAGUUAUCCUAGUCUUCCCUAUCGUUAUUUGCCAAAAAAAAAAAUCUAUAAGGAGUAUGAAGGGUUAAAAAGCCAAAUCUUAAGCUAGUAAUCAAUCUCAUUCAUUUGAUGAUUUUAGGAAUUUGUUUUAAAAAAAGGAAAAGUUAGGUUUCGGAUGCAAAUUUGAGUUAUAGAACUCAAGUUGAUCGUGACUGGCCAAGGAUCUUAAAAUCCUAAGAUCACUUUACUUAAUAAACCCUUAUUAUCUCUAUUUCUAUACCUUACGUUGGAUUGUGGAAAGCCCCAAACUUGAAUCAAUUAAAUUAAAAAUCAAUAUUUUUUUUUUUUUAAAUAAUUUAGUUCUUUUACUUAGUUUCACUUCAUUCACAUAUUAUUUUUCAUUUUAGGAUUUAAAAAAAAAUAAUUCAUUUAUUCUAGUAUUGACUAUUUCCAUAAGCCAGUCCCUGAGGACGAUACCCGAAGUACUACAAAAGUUGUAGUAACUCUUUCUCUUGUUUUUCUUAACCAAAGUUGGUACAUAAAAAGGCUAAGUAUUUUAAUACAACAGAGAAGUUCGGUCGUUGACUUGCCUCUUCUUAAUGACGGGAAAACAUUUUCAUCAAAAUGACAAUUUAUAAAGAAGUCAAUAAAAACAUCACCUGUUAAAAGUUCAAGAUAAUGGAUAAUGAAGGGAGAAUUAAAACCAACAUACAUAUUAAGCCGACAUUGAGAACCUAACUUAGAAUAUUGAGGUGGAACUAUGGGAACAUAAACAACACAACCAAAAUAUGUAAAUGUGAAACAUUUGCUUGGGAGCAGAAAACAAGUUGUAAAUAUGAGCAUUCAUGAUUAGUUGUAGAACGAAUCCAAAUCAAAGUAACAGCAUGAAGAAUAGCAUGCCCCAAAGCAGACAAAGACAAUUUUGUUCUCAAGAGUAAUGAUCUUGCAAUCAGUUGCAAACACUUAAUAAGAGAUUCAACUAAUCCAUUUUGAGUGUGAGCAUGAGCAAUAGGAUGUUCAACAUCAAUACCAACUGAUAUACAAUAAUCAAGAAAUUUUUGAGAGGAGAGUUCACUAACAUUAUCAAGACGAAUUGUCUUAACAGGAUGAUCAAAGAAUUGCACCUUGAGUUAAAUUAUUUGAGCAAGUAACCUGGUGAAGACAACAUUUCUAGUUGAAAGAAGAUAAACAUGAGACCAACAAGUUGAUGCAUCAAUUAAAACCAUAAAAUAACAAAAAUGUCUACUAGGUGGAUGAAUAAGUCCACAAAUAUCACCUUAAAUGUGUCCUAUAAAGGCUGAUGAUUCAUAUUCAACCUUGGUAAAUGAUGUUCUAAUAAUUAAUUUGUCAUGUGAGCAAGCAACACAAUUGUAAUUAUUAGGCAUACGAAUCUUCUAAUUCUUCAAGGGAUGCUCAAAAGAAUUGUUGAUGAUACGACACAUCAUAGAUAAUUCCAAAUGACCAAGACGUCUAUGUGUGGACCCGUAUUUUUCACAUGCGCUUCCAUUUGAUCGGCGAGACUCGUUUUUAUUUCGUGAAAAUUUUAUUAUUUUUGGAAAAGUCGGAGUCGCCAUUUAUUAUAUUUUUAUUUUAAAGGGAAAAUAAAAUAAGAAAGAAAACCCUAAAAAAAAGUGAUUCCAUAGUUUUUGAAAAAGCAUGUCUUUGAAAAACCCAAGUCUAGGUCCGGGGAUUAGGUUACUUAUUGGGAAGGUACCUCUAAGAGGUAACACCCCUCUAAGCCCUAAAGAGGUCUCUACUGACUAAGUUGAGGGGAGCGUGACAAUUAAUCGAUUGAUUGAGGGUACCUAGGUAGACUAAGGUAAUUUCAUAAAUAACAUGCUAAACAAGAAAACCAAUUACAAAUCAGAAAGAAAAUUUAGGGUGUGUACCUGGACUGCUUCCUAUGCGCUAUCACAAGACACCAAAGUUAGUUCAAACAAUAUAUCAUCCAACAUGCGCUUUAUUAUAAAUAAUUGAAUAAUGAAACAAAUAUCAAGACACCCAAGUACUAUCAAACAUAGACAUAGUUCACAGUGACAAGCAUAUUCAUAGGAUUUAGAAAGUAGGUGAUAGAGAGCGUACCUAGGUAGCAUGCAUAAUUUAUAAGAUUCCUCCAAAAAGGCUAAAGUGGUUAGGACAAAUAUUUUUAAAACACUUAAGCUAAUCAGAUGUCCAGAAUCUAGCAUGCACAAUAGGCACGACUUUAAAAAUCAUAUCUCCCUCAAAAAGACAUUUUUUUUUAAAUAUUUUAUGCAUCUAAGAUCAAUUUCUAGAAGCAUAAAAUUGAGGACAAUAUUGUAAAAAGUCGUCUAGUAUUUUAUUUUUGCAAAAAAAUCUCGGGUGUCCAUAACUAGGUGAAAACGAAGCCCCCCUAAAGACUCGUUUAUAUCUUGUAUUCUAGAAUGGCUUUUUAAUUCAAACGAAACUUUAAAUUCAAGUUCAAGAAGUUGGGAAAAUCAUACAAGUUUUGGAAAUUUUUUUAAAAAUAUUUUAAAGUUGCUAAAAUGAAUUUUAAAGCUAAAGGGUCAGUGUUUGAAUGAAAAAUGGUAGCAAGGAAAAAAAAAUUGAAAAUUUUUGCACCAUUAGAAUUGUCCUCCCAAAAUGGCUAUGCUGUUGCAUUAGGAAAAUGUUCCCCACAAGGUAUAAAAUUAAGAUUUACAAAAUCAACACUAAACUCACGAUGGGCGGCUAGAAUUUUGAUGUUAUCAAAGAAUUGAAGAGGAAUUUUAGUGGUCCAAUGAAGUGACCCGUGCUGCUAAAUGCUUAGUUUGUUCAACUCUGAUAGAACUUUGAUGGUCCACCAGAAUCUAUAUCAUCUUCAUAUGUGGACUGUGCAUUUUCUCAAAGUGGCAGCCUCUCUUUUCCAAUGGUGGUUCUCCCUUUUGAAGGUGACGCGUUUGCUCUAAGUGUGGUGGAAAGUGGCAGGCCACUUUGGAGAGAAUUUGUGGCUGCUUGUGGAGAAUAUUAGAAGAGUAGGAAACAAAGAAAACCCAAACCCAAGAAUUCCACAUCUAGCCGGCUGUGUGUGCUGCUCUCCCGCCUUCCUUCCAAUCUUCAAUUUUGUCCGUUGGGCCCCCACAGAAUUACCUACCAAAAAUUUCUAAAUAUGCUCCUGAAAAUUUUCAGAAAACAUCACCAAAAUCUAAACCUAUGCUGACUUUCCUUUUCCAAUAAAAAAAAAUGGUGCCUUGUUAGUGAAUUUCUUCUAAUUUUUAUGAUGCAAGUGUUCCCAAGUUCUCAAAGAAAUAUCACGCACCCCAAGAAUCUCAAGUCGAACUGGUGUUUUCUUCUAGUUUUAUGUGCCCCCCUCCCAAAAAAAUCAGAAUAUGAUGGCACGUUGUUGCAGAUAACCAUGAUGCCCUCCUUCCCCCAACUGGCGUGCUCUCCUUGAAUAGGAUCUCAUUUGUGCGUGAAUCUAGUUGUUCUCCAUUGAUGUGCCUUGAAGAUAUAGUUUGUCAAGUUUGGUCCAAUUCCUGAUUAAAUCAGGUAUUUUCUUGGAUAAAUUAUUCCUAUAGCCAAGGACACUAUUGGCUCAACUCUUGUUUUUGUAUCUACUGUCAACGGUCAACAAACUACGCCCACUUGUUCUUGAAUCAUAGCCAUUAGAUCCACAUCCAGAACCUAUCCGGAAUGCAUUCCAAUACUGGUCAUACAUCCUAUUGUUUGCGUACAUGCGACUCAUGAAUCUAGAAGCCUGUCCCAAGAUAGAUGUCGGCUUUGCAUGCAUCAGUUGCGGAAUAGGGCGAAAAUCCCUUUAGAAUCUCUUGAAUACAGAACCCUUAAUCAAAUAUAGACCCUCAAAGUCCAACCCUAAACCAUAGAUUGAUCCUAAAACCCGUUCCCAAUAAUCCUUUCCCAAUGCAUGCAAAAUAUGUAUCAAGAAUGGUGCAGUUGGUUGAUGGUUCCCUUCCCAAAGACAUUAAUUUCUCUAAAAAAAAAAAAAUCCAUCUUUCAUCCAUGAAUCCACCAUCCAACCUUCCUUCAAUGAUCUCCUCCAGAAUGUUGGAGAUCCCCUCAUCUCUCUGUGUAUGGUUGCAUAUCCUCUUUUGACCCUAAACCAACCUGUUGUUUUUUUCCCUCACGUGCACUCAAUCCCCCAUGUAUUCUCCCCAAACCAGCCUGCUGUUUGCUCCCCCCUUUACUCAGUCAAUCCGCGGUUCCUCUAAUCAGUCACAUUGACUCCACAAACAUGGAAAAAACCUCUCACCAAUCCGGAGAGAGCCCACAAUGUUCUGCGUCAGUCCAACAUGAUCAGAACGAAUCUAGCCUUCAUUCCAUCCCUAUACACACUGAAUAUCUUAUUUUCACCUGCCAAAACUAGCUUUGGUAAGUUUCUUGAACCCAACCCUCCCUAAAACCUUCCUAUCUCUCUCUUUCUUCUCUUUUUCAUAUCCAUUUUAGGUUGAAUGCUCUUUCAAAUCACGGAUGAACCACCUUUCCAAAUAACCAUGUAAUAAUAAUAAAUAAAUAAAUAACAAAAUCAUCCAAUUAAAAAAUAAAUAAGAUUAAUCAUAUGCAUGCACAAGAUAACCAAAAUAUUAUUUCAUGAUAAAGAAACAUAACGCUAGUAUCAUAUAAUUUCCUAAAAAAAUAAAAUAAAAGAACAAAUAAAUAAAUAAACUAGAACCUAGUUAAAACAAAAAUCAAACAAAUAGAAUUCUAGAAGACAAACCUUAGUGCACUAAGCUUAAGGAACUAUCCAAGGGAUCCUAAGUGGGCCUAAGGUGGUGCUUAAUGGGCCAAGUGCAUCUAAACAUGCCUAGGGCGCCUAAGUGAGCCUAAGGUAGUGCCUAAUAAGUCAUGUGUGCCUAAAUGGGCCUAGGGUGCCUAAGUGGGCCUAGUUUGCCUAAAUGGGCCUAGGGUGCCUAAAUGGGCUUAGGGUGCCUAAAUGGGCCUAGUGUGCCUGAAUGGGCCUAGGGUGCCUGAGUGGGCCUAGGGUGCCUGAGUGGGCCUAGGGUGCCUAAAUGUGCCUAUGGUGCCUAAAUGGGGCCUAUGGUGCCUAAAUGAGCUUACGGUGCCUAAAUGGGCCUAGGGUGCCUAAAUGGGCCUAAGACCUAAGUGAGCUUAAGUCUAAAUUAAGGCUGCCAAGAGUCAUAAUGGAGUUAGAUAAAUCCCUCAAUCAAAGUCCCCAAGGUGGAUUAGAAAAGAUAGGUUACACGAGUAGCAAUGGGCCACUAGGGAAUUGCUGUAAAAUACGGAACAAAUACCUAAUAGGACAUGUGCUAGGAAGGCAAAAUGGAAGGUUUACAAAUAUGUCCCUCUUUGAUAGAGAUCAUGAGUGUAGGGAAUAUGAGUAAAAAUAUGAAUUAUGAGUGGAACGAAGUGAACUAUACCGAAGAACUAAAAGAAAUGGACCAGAGAUUUUGUCAUAGCACAUGAUGAGAGUAAGCUCGGAACACGGGAUCGCAAUCACAAAAAUGAAACAACUCUAUGUCGUGAGCACAAGGUUCUAUGCAGAAAGAAUGGCUCAAGGCCAUAGAUGAGAGAAAUGACUUUGGGUCAUGAGCUUAGGGCUCCAAAUGGAAAAUAAAUGACUUUGGGUCACAAAAGAGAAACAACUCUAGGUCGAGAGCUCUGGGCUAUAAAUGGAAAAGAAAUGACUCUAGGUCAUAAAUGAAAAACGACUCUAAGUCGAGAGCUCUGGGCUCUAAAUGGAAAAGAAAUGACCCUGUGUCAUAAAUGAAAAGUGACUCUAGGUCGAGAGCUUUGGGCUCUAAAUGGAAAAGAAAUGACUCUGGGUCAUAAAUGAAAAUCGACUAUGGGUCGAGAGCUUUGAGCUUUAAAUGAAAAAGAAAUGACUCUAGGUUAUAAAUGAAAAUUGACUAUGGGUCGAGAGCUCUGGGUUCUAAAUGGAAAAGAAAUGACUUUGGGUCAUAAAUGAAAAACGACUUUGGGUCGAGAGCUCCAGGCUCUAAAUGGAGAAGAAAUGACUCUGGGUCAUAAAUGAAAAUGGACUCUAGGUCAAGAUCUUUAGGCUCUAAAUGAAAAAUAAAUGACUCUGGGUCAUAAAUGAAAAACGACUCUAGGUCGAGAGCUCUAGGCUUUAAAUGAAAAAGAAAUGACUUUGGGUCAUAAAUGAAAAUCGACUCUGGGUCGAGAGCUCUGGGCUCUAAAUGAGAAAGAAAUAACUCUAGGCCAUAAAUGAAAAAUGACUCUGGGUCGAGAUCUUUGGGCUCUAAAUGAGACAGAAAUGACUCUGGGUCAUCAAUGAAAAACUAUUAUGGGUCAAGAGCUCUGGGCUCUAAAUGGAAAAGAAAUUACUUUGGGUCAUAAAUUAAAAACGACUCUGGGUCGAGAGUUCUGGGCUCUAAAUGAGAAAGAAAUGACUCUGGGUCAUAAAUGAAAAACGACUUUGGGUUAAGAACUCUGGACUCUAAAGGAAAAAAAAAAAACAAAAAAACAAAAUGAAGACCAACUCGAAAGUGGAUAGGAAGCAAAUGGGCUCAAAGUCGUAUGCUCAAAAUGCCAAGGGUUGGACUAAUGAACUUGGGAAUGGAAAUAUGCCUUAGUAUCUAGGGUGCUCCUACUGCUGAAACAACCAGUGAAUCAAUCAUCCGCUGAAAUCACUGAGUUAGAAACUGAUGCGUCAUGACAAACCUCUGAAAAAUCUAAACUAAAAGAACUCUCUUUGUCUCACAAGUUGCUCUGGCGACAAACCUCAAAAUGUAAAUCUCAUAGUGUGUAUUGCAACUCAUCUAAAAGCAUAUCUCAAAGUGCACAAAAAAUAUUGCUCAUCUGGAUAACCCAAUCCGCAAGGUAAUCAACGACGGAAGCAAUCUAUCUCAUGAGCAUUUGGCUAAAGGAUCCACCUAUGCUCCUUGGAUGAAACCUAAUGUGAUCCAUCUCUGUCUCAACAAAUCCAUGUAGGGAGAUCCCGGUACAAUCAAUCGUCGGAAGCCCCAUACUAGUACUCAAUCUAAAACCAAACUGGUCGCUGUCCCAAUCUCAAGGAUACUCAAAGAAAAUGGAGAAAUAUGCAACAGUAUAAGAUCUGAUGUCAAAGUCAUGAGAUAAAUAACCAACAUCAAUCAUCCAUCCUCAUACCAUUGUGCAAACAAAAUCUCAACACGGAGAGGGGGAAUAUGCCCCAGUAUGGAUAUAUGAUACACAACAAAGGAUAUGACAUCACUAGCCAAACAUCUGUCGUCGUCAAUCAGCCAUCUACUAACAUCAAUCAAACAUCUCAAUAAUCAAGAUCAAGGAUAGCCACACAACCCAACCACGACUAAGGAUCUCGAAAAAAAAGGGAAAUAUGCCCUAGUGUGGAUAUCUGGUGCACAACAAAGAAUGAGUCCAACAUCAUCAUUCAGCUAUCCCCAACUCAACAAUAAUCCACUAGUCCAUCUCAGAAAUUCUCCGCAAAUGGAACCUAGAAUCAUGAAAACCGUCAAUGAGCUCAACAAUGCUCCACUAGAAUUGAUAUCAUCUCAACAUACUCCAUUAGGGAUCUACGAUCGAUGAAAAUGUCCAGGCUCAAAGUAAGGGCUCAUCUCAACCAAAUGAAAGGGGAAUAUGCCCCAGUAUGAUAGCUGAUACACAGUAGAAUGAGGGGCCAGACAGCAUCAAAUAUCAUCCAUAUGAUGAAGCAAUUGUCUACAUCCAUCACUAGAUCACCUCCAAGCAUUAAAGAAGCAUCCCCUAGAAGAAGAAAUAGGACAACGUCCAUAUGUCAACCAAAUCUCAAACACCGGCCUAAUUAGAGGCUAUCAAAGAUACCAUCUGAUCUCAUGGCCUCAGGGUGGUCUUAAGACAUGGGACGUAACAUAGGUUAGGGUGAUAAGGUAAAAAAAAUAAAGGGAAACUAGGCUCAAAUACCCAAUGAUCAAAUCCAUACCCUCCUGUACAAGAUGUAAUGCAUAGAAAAAUCUCAUGAUCCAUGGACCUAAAGGUAACCAAAGGAAAUGUUGAUGGCGGAAUGAGAGAAAGGAUAAGUAGUUAGACCAUCAAUGAAACAUGUGAAUGAUGUACAGAAGGUAUAGAACCAGAAAUGUGUAUCAAUAUGUAGGAAAUUGAUAAAAGGUAUAAUGAAGAUCUGGAAAGAGGUGAUGGGAUACAAAAUAAGGCAAUGAGAAAGUGGAAUGAAUGAUGAUCAACCCAUAUCAGUACAAUAAAGGAAAGUCAUAUCACCAAUGAUGGAAUGGUGGAUAAGACAAUGAUUCGAAGACCCUAGUAAAAAGGUUACUCAUCUCUCAUACCUAAUACAUAUCAACCAUGAUCCAAGAAGCAUAGGAUCUCAUAGAACUCUCACAUGAACCCUUGACACUCCAAAUGCAUAACAAGAGUGGCUCAAGGAGUGAAAACUCAUAUAAAAAUCUCACAAGAAUCCACAAUGACAAAUAUACCUAAUAAACAAACCUCAAAAGGUGACAUAAGUGCUCAAUGGAGCAAGGUACCAUAUAUGAACAUAUCAUUGCGUUUUUUUUUCUUUUUUUUUUUUUACAAUUUUUUUUGUUGUGCAUGCUCUGAUCAUCAAUAAAUCAAACUCCAAUAGGAAAGAUAUAAGGAAUGAACAAACUCUUUCAAAUCACUAAUGAAUACAUGAACCCAACCCAUGAAACAACCUCUCAAACUAAAAUCUUCAAAUCAAUACCAAAUGAUGGGAUGAAUGGAGUGAUAUGAUUGUCCUCUUUGCACUAAGAUGUGAAGAAUCAUCAACCCAAGGAAGAGAAUAGAUAAAAUGAAGCAAAUAAUGAUAAAAGCAAGAAAGAAAAUGAAAAUGUGAUGAUAGUAAAAUAGAAUAAAUAGUGUGACAAGGAAAUGGUGACAAGAAUGAAAAUAUAGGUUUAUAAGUCUAAAGUUCAUGAGACUUUCCUAGCAAAGCAUGCAUAUACAUCAAAGGGUCCCAACCCAAGUGUAGAAAUGGUAAUCAAGGCUAUAAGAAAGAAGAAAAAACUUUAACGUACCAUGUGAGGCUCAAUGGGCUAGCAACGAUCUAAUAUAUAGAUAGUGGCGAUAAAGUGUAAGGCUAAUCGAAAUGAUGGCCACCCAUCCUACAACCAUGGUCUCAAAUGUAAUACUUCUUUAGCUUAUCCACAUUGAUAGGGUCUAAGAACUGGUCUCUAUCUAGAUAUGUCAAUCAUAUUUCCUCUCUAAGGUCAACUUUCUAAUGACAUGUGGUGUAUUCCAAGUAAGUCCCCAGGGUCUCUUGGAAUAGAUGAAUCUCCAUGACCAUAACUGGGCUAACAUCGUCCUCAAACAUAUCAUCCACAUAAGCGGGAUGCCCCAACAUAAAUAAACUGAAUCUCUUUUGAACUCUCAACGAUCAAGAUCUUAAGCAUAUCAAGAGAGUGAACUAUCUUUGGCUAACCAUCCAACUAUCAUCCAAUACGUCCAUCUCAGGAUCAUCAUGAAAAAAACCAUGUCAAUUAAAUCUCUCAUCUUAUAGAAAAACUAACAUCCUCUAUAAGAACUCUCAUUUGAUAAACUUUGACCCAUAAUCCACUAAACUCAUCAUAUGUAUGAUGUUACCCUCAACAAUGUUGGGUGGUGGGGGCAGGAGGUAAUGAAUCACACGACAUCUCAUCCCGAACUAGAGAUUAUCUAUCUCAUUGUCCAUCAAUCCUCUGGCUCAACCCUGCUAAUACCUCCUUAAUAGAGUAACGGUGGCAGUCAGUUGAUCAACUAUGACAUACUGAGGGUCCAUACCUAAAUGCUCUGAAACCCUGAUCAACCUACCUCCAACUCUAAUUUAAGAAGUCGAAUUCGAACCAAAACAAAUAACACUCCUAUAAGGUACAAAGGCACGAAAAGAGAAAUGACAUGAAGGAAGCUCAAAAUAGGUGGAAACACACUAAUUACAAUGCAGAAAAGUGGCCCAAUUGAAAAUCAAACAAGUACCAAUCUCUGAGCACACCAAAAAGAGACCAUGAAGAGGAUAACUGAACCCAAUUGUGACCAAGGCAACUCUGAAGGUUCACAGAUGCACCCACGUGUAGGGAUGAAAUCUUAAUUGGGUCUAGGCUAACUUAUAAGGUUGAGGUAGCUCUAUAAGAUAAACUGGGUGAGUUAAAGGAUUCCUAGUAGAAGUGAUCGUACCCUCCGGUGGUACGCAACCCUCUGCACGCCUCCAAGGAGACAAGGUGCUUCCAUGCAAGGUGGUCAUCACCUCCACACAUGCACUUCCUUGCGUUCCCAGGGGGUUUAUUAAUGGUGAAGGCUCUCUCAUAUCUCAACACUCAAGGGUAAUCUAAAGUGCACAGUGAAGGAUGUGAGUGAAUUCAAAAAACCUAAGAUCUAUAGUGAGAUAGUGAACAAAGACAAGCAAUCUUACAAUCAUGCAAGAUAAAUGGUUGUCAUGCAACAAGCAGUCAUGCGAAGCAAAUAAGUAUCAUACAAACAAAGUCCUAUCUAACAUAUGUGAAAGUGAAUCAUGGAGCAAGCAAUCAGGUGAUCAUUCAAGGAUAUAAAACAUGUUAAGAUAGCAUACCAAUCAAGCAAGCAAACUAAAUCACUUUGCCUAAAAAAAAUGAGGUACCCUCUAAUUGACCAAUUAAACGCCACAUUUUCCUCAACUAGUGUUCAAGCUUGAUCCUCCAAAUCUCCAAUGGAGUCGCCAAUUUGUGGACCUGUAUUUUUCACAUGUGCCCCCACUCGAUCGGCGAGACUCGCUUUUAUUUCAUGAAAAAAUUAUUAUUUUUGGAAAGUCGGAGUCGCCGCUUAUUUUAUUUUUAUUUUAAAGGGAAAAUAAAAUAAGAAAGAAAACCCUAAAAAAAGUGACUCCACAGAUUUUAAAAAAGCAUGUCUUUGAAAAACCCGAGUGUAGGUCUGGGGAUCAGGUUACCUAUUGUGAAACCUCUAAGAGGUUUCUACUGACUAAGUUGAAGGGAACGUGACAAUUAAUCGGUUGAUUGAGGGUACCUAGGUAGACUAAGGUAAUUUCCAAAAAAUAACAUGCUAAACAAGAAAACCAGUUACAAAUCAGAAAGAAAAUUUAAGUUGUGUACCUGGAUUGUUUCUUAUGCAAUAUCACAAGACACCAAAGUUAGUUCAAAUAAUAUAUCAUUCAGCAUGCGCUUUAUUAGAAAUAAUCGAACAAUGAAACAAAUAUCAAGACACCCAAGUACUAUCAAACAUAGACAUAGUUCACAGUGACAAACAUAUUCACAGGAUUUAGAAAGUGGGUGAUAGAGGACGUACCUGGGUAGCAUGCAUAAUUUAAAAGAUUCCUCGAAAAAGGCUAGAGUGGUUAGGACAAGUAUAUAUUAUAUAACAUAUUUAUUAUGUCUAAUAUACAGUACCAAAGCCAAAAUUGAGCUAAAAUAAAUCAAAUGACUCAAAAAAUAAAUAACCAAUUCAAGCAAUGUACAAGAUCAACAACAUGCAAUUAGAAAAUGGAGCAUAAAAAAAAUUCUAAAAAAUGGCUUAGAGUGGAAUUUAAUUACGAAAAAUUUUAGGAAACAACUCCUACACAUCUAGAUCAACAUACCCAAGACCAAACUCUCAUUCAAAGGACAGGUUGCAGCAAAGACACCUAAAGGUGUGGACUCGUAUUUUCAUAUGCGUUUCCACUCGAUUGGUGAAACUCGUUUUUAUUUCGUGAAAAUUUUAUUAUUUUUGGAAAAGUCGGAGUCGCCACUUAUUAUAUUUUUAUUUUAAAGGGAAAAUAAAAUAAGAAAGAAAACCCUAAAAAAUAGUGAUUCCAUAGUUUUUGAAAAAGCAUGUCUUUGAAAAACCCGAGUUUGGGUCAGGGGAUCAGGUUACCUAUUGGGAAGGUACUUCUAAGAGGUAACACCCCUCUAAACCCUAAAGAGAUCUCUAUUGACUAAGUUGAGGGGAGUGUGACAAUUAACCGAUUGAUUAAGGGUACCUAGGUAGACUAACGUAAUUUCCAAAACAUAACAUGCUAAACCAGAAAACCAAUUACAAAUCAAAAAGAAAAUUUAGGGUGUGUACCUGGACUGCUUCCUAUGUGCUAUCACAAGACACCAAAGUUAGUUCAAAUAAUAUAUCAUCCAACAUGAGCUUUAUUAGAAAUAAUCAAACAAUGAAACAAAUAUGAAGACACCCAAGUACUAUCAAACAUAGACAUAGUUCACAUUGACAAGCAUAUUCACAGGAUUUAGAAAGUGGGUGAUAGAGGACGUACCUGGGUAGCAUGCAUAAUUUAUAAGAUUUCUCCAAAAAGGCUAAAGUGGUUAGGACAAGUAUAUAUUAUAUAACAUAUUUAUUAUGCUAAUAUACAGUACCAAAGCCAAAAUUGAGCUAAGAUAAAUCAAAUGACUCAAAAAAUAAAUAAUCAAUUCAAGCAAUGUACAAGAUCAACAACAUGCAAUUAGAAAAUGGAGCAUAAAAAAACAAAUUCUAAAAAAUGGCUUAGAGUGGAAUUUAAUUACAAAAAUUUUUAGGAAACAACUCCUGCACAUCUAGAUCAACAUACCAAAGACCAAACUCUCAUUCAAAGGACAAAUUGCAGCAAAGACACCUAAAGGUUCUACAAAGUCCAGAUUUGAUAAGAAAAACUGAUAUGCAUAAACGAAUUUUUAAAAAAUAAUAAAUGAUCACAUAAAAUCAUACAAAAAAUUACACACAUAGUUCAAAGUGUCUAUAUCACAUAAAAAAUGAAUCCAAAGUCAGAUAGUACUCAAAAAUAUUUUUAAAACACUCAAGCUAAUCGGAUGUCUAGAAUCUAGCAUGCACAGUAGGCAUGACUUUAAAAAUCAUAUCUUCCUCAAAAAUACAUUUUUUUAAUAUUUUAUGCAUCUAAAAUCAAUUUCAAGAAGCCUAAAAUUGAGAAAAUUAUUGUAAAAAGUCAUCUGAUAUUUUAUUUUUGCAAAAAGAUCUCAAGUGUCUAGAACUAGGUGAAAACGGAGCCCCCCUAAAAACUCGUUUAUAUCUUCUAUUCUAAAAUGACUUUUUAACUCAAACAAAACUUUAAAUUCAAGUUCAGGAAGUUGGGAAAAUCAUACAAGUUUUGGAAAUUUUUUUUAAAAUAUUUUAAAGUUGUUAAAAUGAAUUUUAAAGCUAAAGGGUCAGUGGUUGAAUGAAAACUAACAGCAAGGAAAAAAAGUUUUUGAAAAUUUUUGCACCAUUAGAAUUGUCCUCCCAAAAUGGCUAUGUUGUUGCGUUAGGAAAAUGUUCCCCACAAGGUAUAAAAUUCAGAUUUACAAAAUCAACACUAAACUCACGAGGGGCAACUGGAAUUUUGAUGUUAUCAAAGAAUUGAAGAGGAAUUUUAGUGGUUCCAUGAAGUGACCCGUGCUGUUGAAUGCUCAGUUUGUUCAACUCUGAUAGAACUUUGAUGGUCCACUAGAAUCUAUAUCAUCUUCAUAUGUGGACUGUGCAUCUUCUCAAAGUGGUGGCCUCUUCUUUCCAAUGGUGGUUCUCCUUUUUGAAGGGGCCGUGUGUGCUCCAAGUGUAGUGGAAAGUGGCAGCCCACUUUGGAGAGAAUUUGUGGCUGCUUGUGGAGAAUAUUAGAAGAGUAGGAAACAAAGAAAACCCAAACCCAAGAAUUCCACAUCUGGCCAGCUGUGUGUGUUGUUCUCCUUCAUUUAUUCCAAUCCUCAAUUCUGUCCAUUGGGGCCCCACAUAAUUACCUACCAAAAAUUUUUGAAUCUGCUCCUGAAAAUCUCCAGAAAACGUCACCAAAAUCUAAACCUGUAUUGACUUUUCUUCACCAAUAAAAUAAAAUAAAAUUAUGCCUUAAGAGUGAAUUUCUUCUGAUUUUUAUGAUGCAAGUCGUCCUUCGUUCUCAAAGAAAUAUCACACACCCCCAAAAUCUCCAGCCGAACUAGUGUUUUCUUUUGGUUCAGGGCGCCCCCCCUCCCCGAAAUCAAAAUAGGGUGGCACUGCAGAUAACCGUGAUGCCCCCCAACUAGCGUGUUCUCCUUGAAUAGGAUCUCGUUUGUGCGUGAAUCUAGUUGUCCUCCAUUGAUGUGCCUUGAAGAUACAGUUUGUCAAGUUUUGUCUAAUUCCUAAUUAAAUCUGAUAUUUUCCUUAAUAAAUUAUUACCAUAGCCAAGGACACUAUUGGCUCAGCUCUUGUUUCUGUACCUGCUGUCAACGGUCAACCAACCACACCCACUUGUUCUUGAAUCAUAGCCAUUAGAUCCAAAUCCAAAACCUGUUCGGAAUGCAUUCCCAUACUGGUCAUACAUCCUAUUGUUUGCGUACACGUGACUCAUGAAUCCAGAAGCCUGUCCCAAGCUAGAUGUCGACCUUGCAUGCAUCAAUUGCGGAAUAGGGCGAAAAUCCCUUUCGAAUCUUUUGAAUACAAAACCCUUAAUCAAAUGUAGACCCUCAAAGUCCAACCCUGCACCAUAGAUCAAUCCCAAAACCCGUUUUCAAUAAUCCUUUCCUAAUGCAUGCUGAAAGUGUAUCAAGAAUGGUGCGGCUGGUUGAUGGUUCCCUUCCCAAAGACGUUAAUUUCUCUAUAAAAAAAAAAUCCACAUUUCAUCCGUGAAUCCACCCUCCAACCUUCCUUCAAUGAUUUCCUCCAAAAUGUUGGAGAUCUCUCCCUCUCUCUAUGUAUGGUCACAUCUCCUCCUUUGACCCCAAACCAGCCUGUUGUUUUUUCCCCCACAUGUAUUCAAUCCCCCACGUAUUCUCCCCAAACCAGCCUGUUGUUUGUUCCCCUCUUUACUCAGUCAAUCCGCGGUUCCUCUAAUCAGUCUCAUUGACUCCACCAACAUGGAAAAAACCCCUCACCAGUCCGAAGAAAGCCCACAAUCUUCUGCGUCAAUCCAACAUGAUCAGAAUGAACCUAGCCUUCAUUCCAUCCCUAUACACACCGAAUAUCUUAUUUUCACCUACCAAAACCAGUUUUGGUAAGUUUCUUGAACACAACCCUCCCUAAAACCUUCUUAUCUCUCUCUUUCUUCCCUUUUUCAUAUCCAUCUUGGGUUGAAUGCUUUUUCAAAUCACGGUCGAACCUUCCUUCCAAAGAACCAUGCAAUAAUAAUCAUAAAAAACAAAAUCAUCCAAUUAAAAAAUAAAUAAGAUUAAUCAUAUGCAUGCACAAGAUAACCAAAAUAUUAUUUCAUGAUAAAGAAACAUAACGCUAGUAUCAUAUAAUUUCCCAAAAAAAAAUAAAAGAACAAAUAAAUAAAUAAACUAAAACCCACUUAAAACAAAAAUCUGACAAAUAGAAUUCCAGAAGACAAACCUUAGUGCACUAAGCUUAAGGAACUAUCCAAGGGAUCCUAAGUGGGACUAAGGUGGUACUUAAUGGGCCAAGUGCAUUUAAACAUGCCUAGGGCACCUAAGUGAGCCUAAGGUGGUGCCUAAUAGGCCAUGUGUGCCUAAAUGGGCUUAGGGUGCCUAAGUGGACCUAGUGUGCCUAAAUGGGUUUAGGGUGUCUAAAUGGGCCUAGUGUGCCUAAAUGGGCUAGUGUGCCUAAAUGGGCCUAGUGUGCCUAAAUGGGCCUAAGGUGCCUAAAUGGGCCUAGGGUACCUAAGUGGGCCUAGGGUGCCUAAAUGGGAAUAGGGUGCCUAAAUGGGCCUAAGGUGCCUAAGUCUAAAUUAAGGCUGCCAAGAGUCACAAUGGAGUUAGAUAAAUCUCUCAACCAAAGUCUCCAAGGUGGCUUAGAAAAGAUAUAUUACACGAGUAGUUUCAUUACUACCAUUAUUCAUAGUUUCAAUGUGAUAUCCAUUUUGACAAAUAUCCUUGAAAUUAAAAAGAUUUCUCUUGGAUUUAGCAUAAUAAAGAGCAUCAUUAAUGUGGAUUUUAGUUCCACUAGGGAAGAUAAUAGUUGUUUUUUCAAAGCCUUGAAUCAAGUCGAUAAGACCUGAUAUUGUAUUAACAUUAAACUUAACCAACGAUAAGUGGGAAAAAUGUUUUUUAUCACAAAGGAUUGUUUGUGUUAUGGCACAAUUUUCAAGACAUGUAUCUACCUUGGAUGUUGUAUGAUGUAUCAAGGUAUGAGAAAAAUCCAUAUAUCUUCAAGUAUAAAUAAAGAAAAUAAUUUAAAUAAGAAAUAAUAAAAUGUGAAAUAAACUAUAAAAGAUGAAUAAUAAAUAAUGUGUUCAAAAGAUAAUAACAGAAUAAAACUAUUUGCAAAGAACUAAAUAAGAACAUAACAUUGAAUCAUAACAAACAUUUCCAUCACCAAUUAGAUGGUUAAUUUUCUCACUAGGAUUCUCAAAGAAGUCUGAAACUUCUAAAUGUGUUAAAUCCACUAGGCUAUCAUCAUCAAUGAAGUUCAUUUCAACUUCAUUUCCUUUUGAUUUUAUUGAGGCUUGAUAAAGGUCAAUCAAAUGCUUUGAAGUACAACAGUUACAUUACCAGUGCCCUUUCAUACCACAUCUAUAACACUUAUUCUCAUGAGCAUGUUUACUUUGUGGUUUUAUUCUUUUUUCAGGUUGUGCCUCUGAAUUAUUCCACUUGUGGUGGUUUGAAUUGUUCUUUUUACUUUCAAUACCACUACGAUAAGAAGAAUUGUUUCUACCACAACCUCGAUUGCGACCACGUCCUCUAUCUCAGCCUAGACCAUAUCCACUUCCUUGUCCGUGUCUAGGAGUUUGGAGAGAUGUAGCAUUGGCUUCAAACAAUGACACAAACCCAGUAGAAUGAGAUUGAUGGUUUUUAAGUCAAAGCUCAUUAUUUUGUUCGACCACUAGUGUCACGCCCCAAGAUCCACUCCAAGGGUGUGACAAUCAUUUCAUACCUCAAACCUAAAUGCUUUAAGUGUAACCUAACCUAAACAAUUAUCUUGUAACUGGAAGUUACCAAUUACCAAAUACUUAUUCAAAGCAGCGGAACAAAAUUCUAAAAUCUUCAAAACUUAACUUAAAAACUAAGCAUCCAUCAACCAAAAUCCAUUAUCCAAAUAGAUUGCAAACUCAAACAAUUCAAGUACUAACAAAAAAUUUCAUAAUCUCCAAAUCUCAACUUCAAACUAUCAUAAAAAUUUAAAAGUUCAAUAUCUAAAUAGCUUCCAAAAACUAAAUAAUCCAAAUGAACAUAAACUUAUAAGCUAACAAUGUCCAAAAAUAACAUCCUAAGCAAAAUCCUAAUGAUGACCAUUCCCCGACCUAGCCAUCACUCCUCACCCGAACUAAGGGUACCUAAAAAAUUAUCAACAAAGGGGAAUGAGUUCAAAACCCAAUAAGGAAUAUCAAUACAAUUUCAUGGAUCAAAUAUUUCAAGUUCACUUGCAAAAUCGAAGAUAUUAUAACUAAUUAUUUUCAUAAACCUUUGAGUCAGUUUUGCCAAUACAUUCAAAACUUUUAACUAUACACUUUCAUUUCUUAUUCAAACAUUUUCAUAUCAAAUUCAGUCAAAACAUUCAAAUCAUUUAUUUACUCUGGCCAUCAAACAUCAAACAGUGUCUAGUUAGGUGGGACUUUUCAAAUAGGUGGCUAGCCUCAAAUUGUUCCUUUAAGGUGGACGAAACCAAACACUACUAGUACUAGUAACCUCUAACCAAACCCCUAAAGGUUGGGGUCCAAAUCAAUUACAUUCCCCACCAAGAAAUGUAAAUGUCAACUAUUAUAUCCCGUUAACAAGAGCCAAAAAGUCAAAAGUCAACUAUUAUAUCCCGUUGACAAAAGUCAAACAAACCAGAGUCAAACACUUAUUUCAAUUAUUCAAAUUUGCAAAACAUAAUAUCUCCACAUUUCUCUGUUAUAAACAAAAUGCAAGGUUCUAACAUAUUUUUCAUGCAAAACAUAUUUGAUCCAUGCAUAAAACGAAUAAUAACUCAAAACGUUUCCAAAUUAUGUAUAUAAAAAUUUGUUUCUAAAAAAAAACAACUACAUUAAUUUCCCUUACCUCAAAAGAAAUCCUAAAAAACUUGGGAGAAAAAUAAUUCUGGAAAAUCUACUCUUCACCUAACAAAAUAUAAGAGAAAUAAUCAUUACUAUUUAUCUAAAAUUAUAGGUUUGACAAUCGUAAAAUUUUAGGUUUUCAAAUUCAUGUUUUUAAUUAUGAAAGAUAAUUUAAUCUAUUCCUAUUUUAGAAAAAUUAAUAAAUUUCUAAUUCAUAUAAAACUUAAAUAUUUUUUUCAAUUUAUUUCUUAGGACACAACAUAAUUUAAUUAAACUACAAUUUAUUCUACUAAUUAAAUUUUAUGUUACUUAUUAACUUACACUCAUCAUUAGUAUAAUAAUAUUGAUAACUUCUAUUCUCUCACUUUCAGUUUUUUUUUUUCCACCUAACAUAACCUAUACACGAUAACUCUCCAUAAUAAUAAUAAUAAUAAUAAUAAUAAUAAUAUAUUCACCACCAAACACCAUCCAUACACAUCUUCCUUUAUUAUUAAUAUUACUGUAUUUUAUUUUAUUUUAUUUUAUUUUUUUCUUUUCACCAUUCUUCAUCUUCCACAAUCACACAUUCUUCUUUCUUUUCUUUUUUUCUAAUAUUUUCUAAUCCCUUAAGCCACAUAUAACAAUAUAUUUAUUUACUCAUUUAUUUUUAUUUUAAAAAAAAAUUCAUUACUUAGAUCUAUUUAUUUAAGAAAUUUUGAAUUUCCCUAUUUUCAUCAAUAGAACAACCUAUAUUCCUAAUUUCAAUAUUUUGACCUAAAAGUUUAAAAUAGGUUAACCCUAGCCUAAAUUGAAAUCUUCUAGAGAAUCAUUUUUUUUUUCAAAAACUUAAGAUUUCUCAAUUUCUAACAAUAAAACCACCAAUAAUCCUAAAUUUCCAAUAUUUUGAUAUUAAAACAAAUUUUAAAAAAAAUAACUAACCCUAAUCUAAAUUAAAAAAAAAAAAUUCAAAGAAUAACUAGCGUAUUCAAAACUAACUAACGAAUAUAAUAUAUUAAUUUAGGGUUAGAAUCUUACCUAGAAAAAACCUGAACUUCAACUCUGAAUCUCUAACCCUUGAGCCCUAUGAUCUCCAAUUCUCUACUUCUGGUUGAUAGGGUUUUUUGAAUGAAGAAGACAAGAGGAAAAAUCCAAUUUAUACCUACGAUUUUUAAUUGUAAAAUGACUCUUUUACCUUUAAUGAAUUUAAUUAAUUACUUAAUUACUUUAUAAAUUACUAGUUUGCCCCUAGAUUAAAUUUUGGGGUGUUACAACUAGAAAACAUGAGAUCAAUUCUGAAAAUUUAGUAAAACAACGCUCUCGAUAUUGCUGUUGUAGGAGCAUAUUCGAGGCAUGAAAAAUCGUAAAUGUUUUUUCAAGCAUAUAUUUUUCAAUAACUUUUUCUCCACAUAAUUUUAAUUGUGAGCUAAUUUUGAAUAAAAUCGAGUUGUAGUCACUAAUAAACUUGAAAUCUUGUAAUCUCAUGUGCAUCCAAUCAUAGCGUGUGUUUGGAAGGAUUACGGUCUUUUGGUGGUCAUAUCAUUUCUUUAAAUUAUUCCAAAUGAUGAAAGGAUCUUUGACCGUAUGGUAUUCACCUUUUAAUCUUUCAUCAAUGUCAUGACAAAGGAAUAUUGAAGCUUUCGUGCAAUCCUGUAGGGAUACAUAAUUUCCUUCUUUAAUGGUAUUUCCAAGAUUCAUUGCAUCUAGAUGAAUUUUAGAAUCCAAGAUAAGUAAUUCUUACUCGAAAUAUCGAGGACAACAAAUUCAAGCUUUACAAGGUUUAACAUUAUUUGAAAACUGUAUGUGGAAUAAUAAUAAUUAGAAAAAUAUCUCAAUUUAUUGAAAUAAACUGUGAAUAAAUUAAUAAAAUUCUUUAACAAUAUUUUGAGUAAAUAAUAUCUAAAAAUAUAAUGACAAAAGAUUUUGCUAUAUUUUGUUAUCAAUUAUAAAUAUGGUAAAAAUGCACAUAUUUUGUUAUGAUUAUUUUGUCAAAAUAAAAAAUGUGCAAAUUUAUGCAUAGCUUUAGGCUAUGAACUAUUUAUUCUAUAACUUCUAGCUAUAUAAUAUUGUUUUGUAUAACUUUUAGUUAUAUUGUAUAAUUAAGAAUAACUAGAAAUCAUAUGUAUAGCUUCUAACCAUAUAUUUGUUAUUUUGUAAUUUAUCCUAUAACUUCUAUUUAUAAGGAUUGCACAUAUUUUUCAUAACUUCUGAUUAUAAUUUUUUUUUUUUUUUCAUGAUUUCUAACCAGAAAGAAAAACACAUUUUCUAAAUAAUAUUUGCACAUAUUUAUGCAUUCAAGUAAGAUAAACGAAAUAGAAAAUCAAAGAAUAAUUUUAUCACAUAAAUAAAAUAGAAAAUCAUAAUAUAAGUUUAUAACAUACUUUUUACAUGAGAAAGAAGAAAGGAAAAUCUCUCUAUUUCUCUUGCAGAGACCAUUUGUGUUGAUAACAUGUUGUAAAAUAAAGUGGGAGACGAAGAAGAAAACAAAAAAAAAAAAAGAAUGCAUAGAGAAAACUAAAUAGAUUUUCAUUAGGGGUCCCUCAUUUCUAUAGGGAUUCACAAAGAGAUAUACAUUAUUACGAAUUAUUAUCCAUACGUUCCCAUAAUACUACAAAUUCUUAUAUUUUAUAACACUAUGUUGUUUAUCUUCUACAUAAAAUAAUUAUUUUUUAAUUUUUUUUAACCAAACAAAUAAGGUCCAAAUUAAAUAAGACUUAAUGUGUUGGAAUGAACUUCAAAUUAAGUAAGACUUAAUGUGUUGGAUUCAUUAAAGAGUCUAGUAUUUUUUUUAAAUAAUUUAAUAUUCAAAUAAUAAAUCAAUUAAUAUCAUAAAUUUACGGAUAAAAAUUUGUUUAAAACAACUUUAUUGUUUCUCUUUUAUAUAAAAUCAUUAUUUUCUAUUUUUUUUACUAGGUAAAUGAACUCUAAAUAAAACAAGGCUUAAUGCGUUAGUUUUAUUAAUUAGUAAUUUUUAAAAAUAACUUAAAACUUAAAUAAUGGACUAAUCAAUAUAAAAAAUUUAUACACAAAAAUGGGUCUAAAAUGACUCUAUGGUUUCUCUUCUACAUAGAAUAAUUAUUUUUAAUUUUUUUUAACCAAGCAAAUAAGCUCAAAAUUAAACAAGACUUAAUUUGUUGGAUUCAUGAAUAAAUUUAGUAAUUUUUAAAAAUAAUUUAAAACUUAAAUAAUAAACUUGGUAAUACUAUAAAUUUAUGGAUAAAAAAAAUUCAUUAUGAUUCUAUUUUUUUUUCUACACAUAAUUACAUUUUUAUAAAUUUUCUCACUGUAAAAAUAAACUUCAAAUCAAGUGACACUUUGUGGUAAAGUUCUUAGAGAUUUGAUAAUAUAUUCUUACUAGGUAAUAAGAUGGCUAGAUAGAUUUUUUUUUUUCAAUGUUACGAAUCAUAAUUGUGUUGCCUUAGAAAUAAGGAUGGAAAUCCAUCAAAAGAAAACCUAAAACAAACAUUGCAACAAACUCAAAAAGGAUAUGAGAUCCCAACAUAAUUAGAGAAAUAAAACCAAAAGAUGGAGAAGAAGGAAAAUCAUCUACAAUGUCUUAGCAAAGAGAAAAAAGACGGAGAAAUCAUACCUAAAAAGUCUCCAAAUCCUCAACUAAUUCAUAACGGUAACCAUUCAAAACCCUAGAAAACCAUAUAGUAGGCUAGAAAAUUAGAGAUUAAAAUCAGAAAUAAAAUCAAAUAAAAAGACAACCACAAGUGAAUCAAAGAAAAAUAUCAAGUAGAAAUGGUUUUUAAUUAUUUUCAAGAACAAAAUUCUAUUUGGAAACUUAAAUAGAAAAAAUAUAUUUUUAUGCACUUAUAUAUAAAUCAAAAGUUCUCAAAGUAUUUUUAUAAUUUCAAUUAUUCUCAACGUACUCCAAAAAUUAAGUCUAAAAAAAACAUAUUUUCACAAGAAAUUCUGAAAAAUUUGUUUCUAAUCAAAUUUUUGUUGAAAGUGUUUUUCAAUUUAAAAAUAAUUUUAUAUUCUCAAAAUGUAAAAAGUUAUUUUUCAAACAACCCGCCAUGAAUUUAUCAGGAUUAUAUAACCAAAGACUCAAGUAGGGCUUGUUUUGUUCAUGGGCUUUAAUUAAAAGUAAAUCUGAUAGAUUAAAAUGCUAAUAAAAAAUAAUAAUAAAAUAAAAAUAAUGAUAAUAAAAAAAACUCAUACAAAUUUUUAAGGAAACUGAUGAUAAACUAAACCCUAAAAACUCUAACAACAUAUCAAAGGAAAAAACAAAACAAAACACAGAAUACCACCCAGAAAUUUGAGUAGAAAAUAAUUUCAACAACUCAUACUUAAAAAAAAAUAAAAAUAAAAUAAAAUAAAAAAUCAACCUCCUGCAGUUGAAGAAACGAAAUCUCUAGCAACUUUAGCUGCGAAUGAAAACAAUAGCAAACAAUAAGCUCAGUCAUUGAAGAUAGACAGAGAGAGACAAAAAGCGAGCGAUAUGAUUGAAGUGAGACUUUAUUUGAGGUUUUUGAAUGCUUUCACUUUGAACAAGGAAAAAAAAGGGAAAAUCUAGGGAGAUGAAAAAUGAUUGAGAGGGAGAAGCACCAGUCGUGGGUUUUUGUAAGCGAUUUUAUUAUUAUUAUUAUUAUUAUUAUCAUUAUUAUUAUUAUUAAGACCAUAUAACAAAAAUCUACUUUGAAAAUACGAAUGCAUACAUGGAAGAUAGAAGGGUAAAAAAUAGAAGAGGUGUAGUCUUGAAUUAGUCCCCAAAUUAAUAUUUUAUUUAUUAUUUUAGAUUAGUCCUUUUAUAUUAAUUCUUCAGAGAAAGCAAAAAUCUCAUGUAAAUAUAAAUAAAAUCAAUCCCUCAAACGAACAUAAGAUAUAACAUGGAAAAAAACCACCUAGUAACCUACUAAGUGUAAAAAACUAUGAGCAAAAGAUCUUGAAAAUUUAAGAGUUGAAGGAUCAAACUUUUGAUAAAUGGUUAUGCUCUCUAUAGAUUCAUAAAAAUCUACCUCACAUUUUUAAAUUAAAUAUCUUUAUUUAUAUUUAUAAAACUCUUUUUAAAAUUAUGGAGAGUUUCCUAAUUUUAAAACAUUCUAAAGAUUCUUUUUAUAAUCAAAUACCAAUUUAGAGAUAAUCACAAUUUUAAAAUAUUUCAAAAAUUCUUUUUAAAAUCAAACACAAAUUUAGAGAUAAGCAUAAUUUUAAAACUUAUCAAAAACAAAUUUUGAAAUUAAAAAUAUACUAGAAAUCAAAUUAGGAAAUAAAAGUAUUCUCAUCAAUUACCCAAAUCCAAAUUUAAUGAAGUUCGAAGUUGUCUUGAAAUGAAUAAGACCCAAGUAAGUUACAUCCAAUUUAUAAGAAAGGAACCAAAUUGUCAACUAAAUAAAAUACCCUAACAAUCUCUCCCUUUUGGGAAUUCUAUGACAAAAUACAAAGAUAUAAUGAGGGCCCCCCAUAACUCUCUUAAAACCUCACUGAACCCAAUCCUAAUCUUAGUCUAAUGAGGGGCCCCCAUAUUAUUAUUAUUGUUGUUGUUGUUAAGACCAUAUGACAAAAAUCUACUUGGAAAAUACAAAUGCAUACAUGAAAGGCUAAAUUAGGAAUAUGAAGGGGAAUAUGAAGGGUAAAAAAAGGAACUCAAAUGCUGAAAGAAAUUUUUUUGUCUAAUCUUGAUAUAAUAGAACUAUCUAGAAGGUGUAGCCUUUGAAUUAGUCCCCAAAUUAAUAUUUUAUUACCUAUUUUAGGUUUUUCAUUUUAUAUUAAUUCUUUAGAAAUAGCAAAAAUCUCAUGUGAACAUAAUUAAAAAUCAAUCGCUCAAAUGAACACAAGAUACAACAUGGAAAAGCCACCUAACUGUUGGGAUUAAGCCCCAAAAAGCAAGACAUGAUGUAAUAAAAUUAGACUUAACUAUAAUUCUAUUAUCCCCUUGGUAUAUUGACAUUGAUUUGAGUAUUUAGCUCAUGUCUUUUACAUUAUACAUGACUUUGGUGCAUUAGGAGUUGCACAAAAGAUACAAGUCAUUGGUUCCCUGUAAGUAGAUAACUUGUCCACAAUUGGUUUAUGGAUUUUGGCAAUCCAAUUGAGACAGUAGUACACCAUCUCCUAAUUGAAGGGAUGACUUGUCUUGGUCGUCAAUAUGGGUUUCCUAUGGUGAGUGUACUAAUGUAUGUGAUGCACAUUGGACAAGACCUACGAUGAAUCAUGAUGCAAGACCAUCAAUUGUCAUGAUUCACCAAGCUACUAUACUACAUGGACUCUCAACCUUGAGAGGAUGUUGAAUUUGUGUCAAAAUCAACAAAAGGUUUUGAUCUAUGAGUGAGACCCUAAAGUAGCCAUAUAUCCCUAUGGAUUGGGUUAUUGUUGAUGGAGGUUGGUGACAACAGGUAUUCUCAAUAGAGGUAGCAUGAUAUCUCAUUGGAUUGAAACAAUAUGUCUCAUUGGGUGAUCCAAAUGACAUGUGAUCAUGAAAUCAUUGGCCACAGUAAUUCAUUUAGUAGAAUUUGACAUAUGCUCCUUGGAGUUAGAGUAUGUCAAUUGAUCACAUAAUAAGUGAGAUCCGCAACUCAAGGAUUUGAAAAGUAUCUUGAUAUGUGAUAGCACUACCUUGUUAGAUUAUAGAUACCAAUUCAUGGGGAGUCUGCAUGUAGUGAAUAAUAAGUCACAGACUUAAGCACUUGGUGUUUCAUUGUAAUAUACAUAGGAUACUGGAAUACAGUUGACUCUUUGUAGUGGGAUGUUGAGUCAAUUUCAGAAUUUGAUUUUGAGGGAGCCAGUACUCCUAUAGGUCUCAACGGUCCCUGCUCUAAGAUUAUAUUCUUUGUUGGCACGACUUAUGAAAGUUGGAUGAGUUUUUAGUUCAUUUUUGUGCAUAAGGGCGUUUUGGUAAUUAUGUAAGGUUGCUCAGGGAUAAGUGAGUGACAUCUUUGAAUUGGAAUAAUUGAUUAAUUAAGACCUUGUAUGGUUAAUUAAUCAAUUAACAACCUUUUUGGGCUAGAUUAAGUGACCCAAGCCCAUGAUGGGCUUAAGUCAUUUAAGUCUAGUAAAAAACCUAUAAAUACCCCUUUAGGGUUAAGGUUUCCAUGUCUUGUCAUUCUCCCCUUCAGUCUAGAGAAAGAACCCUAACCUCUACCAUUGAGAUCUCCACCAUCUUAGUGCUUAGACACAAGGAAGAGUCAUCAGUCGGAAGAUCAUGGUGUUUACGAGAUCUACUGCGACUUCGGAGUUAUCUACAUCAACUGGAAUCGGUUUGAGAAAAUUUAGAUCAAAGGUAUGUGACUUUAUUCUCUAUGUCUAUACUUUCUAUGGUAUUCUUAUUGUUUUUUAAUACUUGAUCAUCCGUCACGAUAGAUUUAGAAAGCUUAGGAUAGAUUCACAUGCACCCUACACAAUCCAAGGCAUGGGAACGGAGUAAUCUGAAAUUCCCAACACUAACAACCUACUAGGUGUAAAAAAACUAUGGAUGGUCUCACAACCAUUAAAUAAUCUAAUAUAUAUGAGAAAAAGGUACACAUAUUUACCUGACUGGAUGCACUUACUCUCUAAGGUCUUCUACCGUCAACACCUACACUUUUUUUCCCCGUCCCUGAUGCAACACUCUCCUAUGCUCCUUAGAAUCCCUUGAGGCCCUUAUCGAAGUUUUGCAAUGAAAAAUAAAAUAAAUAACAAUAACCAUCACAAACCAUGGACAAAAAGGUUAUGGUAUAUAAGGCAUGUGGUGACAAAAUUAUAAUGCCGACAAGCAUGAGGAUGAGAAGAAAACAAUUGCAAACUUAGAUGAAAUUUUUGUUGAAACAAUGCAUAUCUUUUCUACAUUUCUACCCUAAUGUCCUAAAUAAUGCAAACAACUUAUUAGGAAAAUUGCUGAAAUGAAAAAAGUUCAAGAAUCAUUAGUAAGGGGAGCUUUCGAAGUAGUAAAGGAUUCCUUCUAGUCUUCCGCUCUCCUUAUAGCAUAUCAGACCCUCCAUCUAGAGAAUAUAUGUUCAGAUCCUAAAAUUGCUUUUUCUGCUUAUUCACAUCUUUAACUCCACUCAAUAAUAAUAAUAAUAAUAAUAAUAAAAUAAAAAAACACCUCCGAUAUGCUUGAAAAGUAAAAAUUUUAAAACAAACAAUGAGUUCUCAAGCUCGUUAAGAAAUUAUUACAAAUAGAAUGAUUUUAAUACAAUAUGAUUUCAACAUUUUCUCUAGACCUAAAUACAUAAUCUUUGUUUCAAUAACAUCUUUUUGUGAUUAGCCCAUCACUCGUCAUAGCAAAUAAUCAAAAUAGACUCCAUCCAAAAAUAGAAUGAAUGGUCACAUAUUUAUUGCUUAGACAUAUCUCAUAAGAUUAAUUAUUUGAAUUUUUUUUCAAACCACACUGUAGGAUUAUGGUACAUAUGCAAGCAUAUGCACACAAAUUAAAGAUUUGUUUUGAUUGGAAGUCUAUAUUCUAACAGAAAAAAAAAGGAGGAAAGAAAGAAAGAAAGAGGGGUAUGAGCAAGGAAAAGCAAGGAGUUUUUUAAAGAACUAGAAAUCAAAUGAACAAGCUGAAAGCACCCCCAGCCUAACCACUCUAAAAGUUGUCCCUGAAGUCUUCAAGUGUAACUGCCUCUAUUUUAUCUAGAAACUAUUGGGAAAGCUAGAAACGCAAUGGAAAUCGCUUUCAUACCUGAAGUAAAAAUGAGAACCUCCUUUGUCAAGUGGAUGGUCCUCCAUGAACCCUAAAACUUGGAAGCCAGCUCACUUAGUGAAGUAGAAAAUUUUCCUGACCUUUAAUCUGUUCCAUCUUGAACGAUUACCUUUUGUUAUACCUUCAAUAAUGGAUUUGAUAGCAUUGCCAAAUCUCAUGGCUUUGAACAAGCUAACCAUAGAUCUAGAUUGAGACAUAAUUAUGCUGGGUAAUCUCUAGUUCCCCAAAGAGCAACCUUUGUGUAGUCUAGUAUAUGGGAUGAGGGAUCCAUCUAGGUUGACAAAAAUGUCCUACUUGAGUUCAUUUAAACCAAAAGUGUACAGGAUGCAGUAGAAUCUUCCUGUGUAGUAAAAAAAGAAACAAAUGCUGACCCACUCUAACUCGAAGAAAGACGAAGAAAAAGGGUUGCUUAUGGUUGAAGUAUAGAAUGUUUUGUCAACUUUCAACUUCAAAUUAGUAAUUGGCACUACAAUGUGUAUGAAAAAUCAGUUACAGGCUUGUUUGUGAAAUUAAACUAGACGAGUUUAAAGGGCCAUUUAAACAUAUGCACAUGUAUGUAGAGAGAGAGAGAGAGAGAGAGUGUGUGAGAGAGGGAUUUAUAAUAGAAACUACACAAACAUGUUGAAAAGAGUACUAUGUUGAUUAGAGUAUUUACCAUCACAAUGCUAGUGGCCUAAAACCUCGAGAAACAGUUUGAUCUCUUCUUCAUGGCCCAAUUUUCCAUAAUUCUUGCAGAUUAGAAGCUGUCCACUGAAUUGUUUGAAGUCUCACAUCUCCAUUUCUGAGUAAGUUGAUGGUGUGCUCAAGAAAAUCAUGUCUUCCUCAAGUUCUUCCAACCAAUCAUUUAGAUCAGAAAUCACUUUCCCAAGAGCAUUUAUAUCAUCUUCUUUACAGAACACAGUAUCUUUCACCUGGAUUCUCAGAUGAGGGAACAUGUCCUCCAGCUUGUGGGCUUCCUCUAGAUACAGAAAUAUCAUUUUACAUAGGCAAAUCAGUCUCUUCCAUCCCACCACCUUCUUGAGACCCCUCUUUAUAUUUGAGCUCUUUUGAGUCAUUUAAUGCAUCUCCAUUUCUGGAAUAUUCACCAUUAGCCAAGUUUGAGUGUGCCCCACCAUUAGAGAAGAGAUGAAACUUCUACAAUUUCUUCAGACACUCUGAAAUGUAUAUCUUUCACUUCAAUUGCUGACAAUGACCCCUCUUUAUAGUUGAGCUCAAACCUAAGAACAAACUUAUUCUAAGUAACACCAGUGGUAGUAACUAAUGAAUGAUUGCUCAUACCAUUUCUAAAAGACAAUCAGUUUAAGGUCCACUAAAUGAAAUCCACCUGGAAGGACACCAAUGGCAAGUAAACACACGAAAAUAACAGAAAUUCAACUCUUGCUUGAUAGAUCAAUCUCUUGUAGCAACAUGAUUUUUUGAUCGAUUAAACUUGUUUGCUUGCAAAAACUUGUUGAUACAAUCAAAAGCCAUUAACUACAAAGAAGAGUGGGACCCUCCAAGAAUUCCAUGUUUGGAGUUGAUGAAUAUCCUAACUCUUUACUGCACAUACUUGCAUAGAAUUUGUUUUACAGAUUGAUCCAAUCCAUCAUCAGAUAACAUUCCCACUAACAAUGUGGUGGUGGACACAUCACAAGAAAAUCCCCUUGCAAGCAUUUCUUCAAGAAGUUGAAUAGCUCUCGAUGUCUCAUUAUUCCUUAAAAAUCCUUGGGUAAUUGUAUUGUAAGUGCAACCAUCUGCUGAGCAAGCAUUCUCAUCCAUUUCCAUAAAUAACUUAGUUGCCUCAUCUAAUAAACCUCUUUUACAAAGCCCAUGGGUCAUAAUAUUAUAAGUCCAAACGUUAGGCUUUAAUCCUUUAGAGGAGAGAUUGGAAAAGAGAUCCCUUGCAUCUUCAAGUUCACCAGCCCUACACAUGCCAUCAAUGACAAUAGUAUAAAUUUGUAUAUCAGGAUCCAAAUUACUACCUUCAAUAGCUUUCAGCAAAGCCAUAGCUUUAUCAAGAUGACAAUUUUUGCAUAGAUAGUCCAAUAAAAUGCGGUAAGUGACAAGAUCAGGAAUUUGGCCACAAGCUACCAUCUCACGAAAAAGUGCUAUUGCAUCCUGGAGUCUUCCCACAUGGCAUAAACCAUGUAUAAGAGUGUUGUAAGUCACGGUGUUUGGAAUCAAUUUUUGUCGGCACAUUUCUUCAAAGAGAUACAUGGCCUUAUCCAUCCUUUCAAUCUUACAAUAACCAUUAAUCAAGGUGUUAUAGCUGAAAACAUUAGGUGCACAGCCCUUAUGAACCAUCAUAUCAAAUACUUUAACUGCCUCAUCCAUUUCAGAUCGCAAACAAUGUCCAUCUAUCAAUGCAGUGUAGGUGACUACAUCAGGCUCCACGCCACUUUGAAACAUCAUGUCAACCACAUCAUGUGCUUGGGCGACCAUUCCUUCUUUACAGAGUGCAUCCACCACUGUAGUCAAACUAAUUGCAUUUGGCAUUAUCUUGCUAUCUACCAUUUCAUUCAACAGUGUAUUAACAUGUUUCCACUCACCUAAAUUACAAAGAGCAUAAACUAAUGAGUUGCAAGUAACAAUAUUAGGUGAAAUGCCUUUAGUGAUCAUCUCAGAGAAAAGGUUGAAAGCUUGGGUCUGUUGUCUAUCCUUACAAAGGCUAUGAAUGAGGGUGCCAUAGACAACUACAUCAGGCUGACAAUUCCCUUUCUCCAUGCUCCGAAGUAACCUGAUGGCGGCACUAGUGUGCCCCGUUUUGCAUAACCCAUUUAUCAAUGUUGCAUAUAUAACUACAUCGGGUUGAAAACCUUCCCAAAUCAUUUUAUCAAACAAGUGGAGGGCUUCGCCAAUUUGACCCUCAAGACACAGGCCCUUAAUCAAGGUCGUGAAGGAUGCAGUGUCGGGUUGACAACCAAGUUUGAGGAUUUUGGCUAAAACGGAGAAAGCGAAAUUCACCCGAUUCAGAUGGCAGAAAGAGUUAAUGAGGACGUUGAGAGUGUAAACAUUGUGUGGAAUUCCAAAAGAAUCCAUUUUCCUGGAAAGAGAAAGCACAGUGGAGUAGCGUUUCACUUUAGUGAUGGAGGUUAAAAUUUUUGCGAAAUCAACGAUGGAGGGAGGAGGAUGCAUAUGAAGCAUUCGAUUAAAUGAAGAGAGGGCAUCAUCCAGAGUAUUGAAAUGAAGGUAUUUGGAACGAAAUCUAUUAUGUAAUAAAGACAAGAAUGGAGAAGGAAUAGAAAGCAUCCCUGUACCGGGACCAGGAGAAGAAGAAGAAGAAGAAGAAGAAGAAGAAGAAGAAGCCCUUCGUAUCAUCUUCAUAAUCGCCACCAUUUUGCAGACAAAAGAGGGUGAUAAACGCACAAGACAACGCAGGGAGUAUCCAGAAAUAGAGAGUAUAUACAUUUUCUGUCUGUUUAUUACUUUGGCCUAUGCGUGUGAGCGUUACUUUAUGAAACUUAUUUUAAAUUUAAAAUUAUUUUGCCAAUAAAAAAAAAUAAAAAUAAAAAGACAAUCUUUUUUAUUUCACGAUUUGAAAAGAAUUACAAUAAUGAAAUAAAAAAGAAUUAUAAUCACUAUUUAUUGUUUGUAAAAGUAGUUGAUCCUUUCAUGCAAUUCCUUAUUUUUACCAAAAUUAUUUUACUAAUCUUUAAAUUUAAAAUCCCAACCUUUUUUAUUUCUAAUCUUUCUAUGCAUCCACCCAUUUCCCAAAUGUAUCCACCAAAUAAAUUUAAACAAGAAGUAAGAGAAAAUGAAGAGAAGAUGAACUAUUUGGCAAUUUGUUUUUUAAAAUAGUUUUUUAUUCUUCAAAAAAAAAAAACAAAAAAAAAACACAUUUAAUAAUCAAAAAUUACUUUUUGUUCAUAAGAAUAGAAAAUGAGUUUAUUUGACAACUGUUAUCGAGAAUAAUUUUAUAUUUUUUUAGAACAAAAAAAAUAAAAAUAAAAACAUUUUACAACAAAAAACGAAUUUUUUUUUAGAAUAAAAAAUAAGAUAUUUUUACAGAACAUCUUUUAAUUGUUUUUUGUUAUUUUUACUUAUUUUCUAAAGGUUGUUUUAAAAAAUAAUUAUACAAAUAUUUAGAAUGAUUUAAAAUAAAAAACUAGACAAAAAAAUUAUUUUUAAAAAUAUUAAAAAAUAGGUUAAAAACAUUUUAGAUUUCUAAACAAAUUUUUGUUUUACAAAACAUUAUAAAACAAUUUUCAAAAACUGUUUUUUAAAACUGUUUUCCAAAACAAUUACCAAAAAGGCCUUAAAGUGUUUUCAAAUAAUAUCUUCCAAUUAUUUUUUAUUGUUCUCACUUGUUUUCUAAGGAUUGUUUUUAAAAAUAAUUAUACAAAUAUGUAGAAUAAUUAAAAAUAAAACACUACACAUGAAAAUGAUUUUUAAAACUAUUAAAAAUAAGUUUAAAAUAUUUUAGGUUUUCAAACAAAUUUUUAUUUUACAAAACUAUUUUCGAAAAGAGUCACCAAAUAAGCCUAUGUAUGUUUUGAACCUAUUUUAAAACACAAUUUCCUAUUCUAAGAACAAAAAGCCGGGAAAAUUAUUUUAAGAAUCAAAAAACAGAAAUUAACAAGAAAUAGAUGUUUUUCUUGUUUUCUAAAAACUAUUUUUUAAAAAAAAUUAUAUAAAUAUUAAGAAUGAUUAAAAAUAAAACAUAAUUAAUAAAAAUUAUUUUAAAAAUAUAGAAAAUAGAUUAAUAACAUUUCAAGUUUCCAAACAAACUCUUAUUCUACAAGAUAUUAGAAACAAUUUUCAAAAACUAUUUUUCAAAACGAUUUUAAAAAAUACUUCCCAGACAUACAAUUAACAUCCUUUUAACAUAAUGAAUCCUCCUCCUGGAACAAGCCAAGUAGACAAAUUGAAGCUAAAUGAUGGAACCAUGAGACUUACAAGUUCAGCAAUCCAGAGUAAAAUCAUUUAUCUGUUUCAAUGUACAAUAGAGUCAGCAGCAACAGGUCAGACCAAUUGAAGUCUACCCUCUUAAAUAAUAGUAUAGUUUUCACUUUACACACAAAAUCAACCCCCCUUGGACCCUCAAAAAAAAAUGCAUCACUCAUCCACUCCUGCAAUCCAAAACCAGAAAAAAAGCAAAGACAAAAGCCCCAUCUCCAUUCUCAAAAAAGGAAAAAAAAAACCAAAGCCUCACCAACUGCUACCAUUAUCAAGCUACAAACCAAAAUAUUCUAAGCAAUGAAGCAAGCCCAAAGAAGAGAGAUUGGAAAAGAAACAAACCAAACAUCAUACGGCGUCAAAUCUAAGCUAUUCUAUGUCUUGGGAGAAACAAGCUCACGAUACUGUACAGAGGUUAUGCCAGUUUUGUACCAAGGUAUUGACUGAUGGUAGCUGCCUGGCUCUUUGGAGUAUCAACACGUCUUUUCCCAUGGCAUCUGCAAUAUUAACAUAACAACCCCUCAGAGGAUAAGCUUAAAAAAGUUCAGAAACAGGCUUUUAUGUAUUUAUAUCCUAAUCUAAUCUUGGAGUUGCAUAUUUCAUUGAACAUACUAAACAAAGAAGAGAACAUGGAAGGUAUAGUUGGGAAAAGCAAUGCAAAUGCUAGAAAAUGAAGGCUUUCAAUUUCGAUCAGUGCAGUGUAGUUUCAAAAUUCUCCAGAGCAAAAUCUCCUUGCCAGAUAGUAUGUCAGAAUUAGUUUGUUAAGAGUUCUGAAAUUCAAUAUUGUGAUGCUUUUCUUUCCCUGCAUUUUCUCAGCAGCCAAACAAACCACAAGAGAAAAUGAUGCACUCAUGAAUCAACCAAGAAUAAAUGCUUGUUAUGCCAUAGAGUAACAAUAAGAAUCUCUCCUCAUUUCACAAAAUUAUUCUCACAAUUAAGUUGUGGUCUUAUUCCGGCCAGGGAAGAUUACCAAAAAGGCAUUGAGUUUCUCUCCAAACUAAAAAAACCAAAUACAUCUCAUAUGGACUAUUUUCUCGAGAAUAUAAAAUUCUUCAGAGUCCUCCAAAUAUGUUGGAAAUUAUUCUCACAACCAAAAACAUGGUUCCUUCACCUAAAUGCUUCUUAACAUAAAACCACACUUGGACCAUAGGAUCAACUGUUAGAUUUAAGGCCCUCUCAAGACAUGCACUAGAAACCCAUCCUCAAACUGAACCAUUUCCAACUAAAAGAAAAGAAUAUGAAUCACCCACUACCAUGACACCAUGCAUCGACAAUAUGACACAGGACCAACUAGACCAUCCAAUAAAGAAAGAAGGGCACAGAUUCUUAUCACACCAAAAAUUUUCCCAGGUACCUUCAUUGCAUGUCCUCUACUACAGGAAUAUGUCAAUAGAAUCCUGUAGACAUGGUCAUAUACAAUCUCACAUUUAAAAAGGUAGAGAAGAAAGAUACUGAUAAUAGAGCCAUGCCCUAAGAUUCGUGAUUACAUGAAUCUGAUGUCCAGAUUCUAGCAACAGAUGAAUCCCCAACUAAAAGAAUGACUCACAAAAUGAUCCUUUGAGCUGCAUUUUAACAAGCUAACUCAACCUUUUAAGGCACCUCAAGGUCAGAUUUUGGUAGUCUUUAAACUAAUCUGAUUACGAGUAAAGGCAGUCUCUAAGGUGUUUUAGACAUUCAAGAAUAGACUUGAUGCAAAUCAGGGCAUCUUAUUCCUUGAAUGUAACUGUUUUCUACCAACAUAGUGAAGCAUUAUACCACCCAUUUCCAGUUACAUGAGACCUUCUUCACUCCAUUCUCUUCAAAAAAUGCAGGCACACAGAAAACAUAUUAACAGCCGGCAAUACACAAGAUGACAAAGACCAUGCAGAUGAUCUGGGAAAAAAUUUUAAGUUUCUCAUUUACCUAAUGUCCUCCGACUCACUACACAGACCUGGAACAAUAGUGCUAGAGGAAAUAGAAAUGUUUUCCAGGAAGUUUAACACAUGAGAAUGAUGACUAAGCAAUUUUGUCAAAUCCUUGUUUGCUUUAUUCAACCAAUUUUGAGCAUGUAUUGAUUUGUAACACUCACACAAUGUUGAAAAUUUUUUCCUUCAUUGCUUCUGUAACUUUAUUAUCAUUUGAAAUUAGAAAACGAAGAGUAUUAAACUUCAUUCUCCGUCUCUGGUGAGGUCGCAUCAGCAAAAGAGUACUCAUCAAUCCAAUUCCAGCUUCUGUCCCAGAUGAAGUUGUUCUUGUUGGUAUCAUAGAUGUGCUGUAAGAACUGGGCAAUGUCCCUAAAUUAAUUGAUAUAGAAGCAUGAACAUUCGUGGAUGGAAAAUGAAAGAUCACUUAAGAAAUUAUGAUAAAUGGAAUGAUUUCAGACAGUAUGAUUUUAAAAUUUUCUCUAGCACCUGUCUAGAAUAAUCAUAAACUUUCUUAAGAUCUUUUUGCAAUUAUCUCCAUCAUUCAACAUGGCAAAUAAUCAAGAUCAUAGUUGUGAAAGGAGCGCUUUAAGCACACCUAGGCUCAAGGCACACCCACUCCCUAGUUGUAGCAUCUUGCUUGCCAAGGUGUGCACCUUGUUGGAGAAACUCACCUAGUCUACUUUACUUCCAUUUUUAAAACACUUCUAUUCUUGAAACUUCUAACCAUAUAUCGAAAUUUAUACAAAUUCAUUACUUUUUUGUUGGAUGCUUCUUUUAAAUGUUUGGAAUCUUAAAUUUUUUGUUGAUUGGAUUAGAUUUUAGAUCAUAUCAUCAUAAAGAGCAUUUCACUUUCCUUAGGCUCGCACUUUGUAUUGUGCCUUAUGCCUAAGCCAUAAGAGACUUUUGUGUCUUGUGCCUUUUAAAACUAUGAUCAAAAUAUCCUUCAUCCAAAAUUCAAAUCAUGGCCAUCUUAGCAGUCUCACUGGUUAACCCACAGACAUCUCUCAUGAGACCAAUUACUUGCCUUAUUUUUUGUUUCAAACCAUACAAUAGGAGUAUAAGUACAUUUGCAAGCAUGUUGUCACAAGAUGCUUCAAAUGACCCUCCCCAUGGGCUUAUAUGGGGGGUAGGAAGCUUCUAGAGAACCCUGAAGACAUCUACACUUAGCUACAAGGUGGAAGAGUGUGGAAGCUUCUAGAAAAGGCUAAAGAUGUCCACACAUCUCUACGCUUGGCUAGGAGACCACUGGAAAAGUGUGGGGUGUUCUAAAAUCUUCCAAAGUCAUCUUGUACAUAGCCUUGUACAUAGACUAGUGUAGGAGCUUCUAGAUUAUUCUUGAUUUGUAAGGAACCCUUCAAGGUUCUAGAGACUUCCCAAGGUGCCUAUAAAUAAGUUAAGACCCCAUUUGGCCAAGGCACCACCCAAGAACCUAACCAACCAAGCAAGUGAGCUCUAAGCACUUGUAAAGCUUCCUUUGAGUAAUAAAAGCUUCCUAUUCUUUAAGUGUUGCAUACGGUUCUCUUAGCUUCCAAAUCGUGUGCAUCUUAGCUUAGCGAACUAAGCAUAAAGGGGAAGGCUGACUUAGCAACUUUCAAGCGGGGUGAGUUAUCUAAGUGCCACACGUGAGCUUAGGAAAGGCCUAAGUCCGUGACAUAUGCUCACAAAUUAGAGAUUUGUCUUGAUUAGGAGUCUAUAUUAUGAUAGAAAACAACAAACUGAACAAGAAAAAAAGGAUGGAUAUAUGCAAGAAAGAACAUGACCUUUUCAAAGAAUUAAAAAUCAAAUGAAGAUGUUGAAAGCACCCCCAGCCUACCCGCUCUCAGAAGGAUAAAAAAUGGCCCUAAACUCUUCCAGCAUAACUGCAUCUAUUUUAUCUAAAAAACCACUGAGAACCCUAGCAACCCAAUGGAGAUCACCUCUAUCUUGUAAGUAAGAAAAAAAUUACCCUUCUUCAAGUGGAUAGUCCUCUACAAGCCUUAAAACUUGGAAGUCAACCAGCUUAGUGAAGUAGAAGAAUCCCCUUUGACGUCUAAUCUGUUCCACCCUGAACAAUUAGCUUUUGUAAUGCCUUCAACAAUGGCUUUGCUAUAUUACCUAAUCUCAUAGCUUUGAACAAGCUAACAACAUACUUAGAUCAAGAUAUCAAACUAUAUUGACUUAUCUUGAGUGCUCCAUAGAGCAACCUUGUGUAGUCUAGUCUAUUAGAUGAGGGAUAAAUCUAGGUUGACAAAAUGUCUUCCAUGAGUUCAUUUAAGUAAAAGUAUACUGGCUACAGUUGCAUCUCCCUUCUCAAUGAUACUUAAAAAAAAGUUAAAUGUUGGCCUCCCACUCACUUGAAGAAACACACACACACACACACACACACACACAAAAAAAAAAAAAAAGGUUGCCUACGGUUUAAGUAUGGCACAUUCCAUCGACUUUCAACUUUAAACUGGAAAUUUGCACUAUAAUGUAUAUGAAAAAUAUGUUAAGGUGUUGUUUAUGAAAUUAAACUAGACUUGUUCAAACAGCCAUUUACAAAAACACAAAAAACAUAUAUGUACAUACGAAUAUGCAUUUGUGGACUGAGAUACAUAAUAGAAACUACACCAACAUGCUUAAAAGUGCAGCAUGUUCAUUAAAGUACUUACCUUUGCAGGGUAUGGCAUAAAGCCUCAAGAAACAGUUUGAUUUCUUCUUCGUAUCCCAAUUUUCCGCAAUUCUUGCAGAUCAGAAGCUAUCUGUUGAAUGAAUUGAAGUCCCUCAUCUCCAUUUCUGAGCGAGUUGACGGAGUGCUCAAGAAAAUCACGGUCUGCCUCGAGUGAUUCCAACCGAUCAUUUAGAUGAGAAAUCUCAUUUCCAAGAGCAAUUAGAUCAUUCUCUCUACAAAAUAUGGAGGAGCUUUGGCCUGAUUCCUUGCCAACAAACUGAGAAUUCUGUGACAAGGCAAAACUUCCUCCAGCAUGUGGACUUCCUCUAGAUACAGAAAUGUCGUUUUGCACAGGCAAAUCAGUCUCUUCCAUUCCACCAUCUUCUUGAGACCCCUCUUUAUGGUUGAGCUCUUUUGAGUCACUUACUCCAUUUCCAGAAUAUUCACCAUUAGCCAAGUUUGAGCAUGCCCCAUCAUUAGAGAAGAGACGAAGCUUCACCUCCAAUAUCUUCAAACACUCUGAAAUGUAUAACCUUUCCUCUUCAAUCUCUAACAAUGAAUUCUUCAUAAUACUCAUAUGUUUAUCAUUAAAGGACAUUUCUUUUCUUUCAACAUUAUCACAGAUUUUAGGUUUCACCAUAACCACAUUGCUAGGAACAUCAACAUCAUUUCCAACACAGCUUGCAUCUGAAUGCUCCAUUCUAACGUCUUCUAUUUUUGGAUCACAAGUUGGCUGCAAUGUAUUCUCCAACAUUGUUUCAUCUGGGAAUUUCUUCCUAUAAAAUUCAAGCUCAGCUUCUAGAUCUUGCAUCUCUUUCUCCUUUUCCGUAAGAAGGUCAUUUGUCUUUUGCAGUGCUUCCAUGUCAUACUCAGACUGCUCUUCCAUCAUUCUUAAGUAUUGCAAUGCUUCCAUAUGGAGCGCUGCCUUCUCCUCCUGGAGUCUGGUAAUCAUGGCCAUUGCCUGAUUUGCAGAAAUUGCAGAAGCAUUUCUUUCUUCAUCCAACUCCUUAUACAAAGCAAUGAUGGUUUUCCUGUCAUGCUCAACUUGACGCUUUAACCGAUCAACCAUGCUUUCACCUUCUAUUUCACUGACAAUGCUUCCAUCCAAAGAUAAGCCAGAUUCGUUUCUUUCAAGUGAGAUCCUCUUUUGAAGUAUAUGCAAUCCAGUAGGGGUAGAAGAAUCAAAGGUUUUCAAGUCAUCAACAUUUCCAGAUACUCUAGGACUUAUAUCAUUUAGUGGUAACUCAAACCCUCGAGUGGCAGACAUUUGUGAUAGCAAGACCUUGAACUCUCCACUAACUUUUGCAGAAUCUUUCCCAGUGCGCUGGUCUGCAAGAAUACCAGAUGAUUGUCUUCCUCUAUUACUUACAGCUAGCCUAUAAGCAUCACCAAGAUCCAAAGAAUUGGGCAUUUGAUGAACAGUAUCAACUAACAUGGGAUUAAUUUCUGAACCUAUUACACCACCUGUAAUUGGCCCACUUCCUGUCUUAGAGAUUUCCCCUUUUUCAGCCACAGAUGUUUGUGGAACUUCACUAGCUUCGGCAUCAUCUACUGCAAAACAUGAAUAAGUAAAAGAAAAGCUCAAAUUUUCAAAUUUAACUGAAUAAUAUAAUCAGAUCUCAGGACAUAAUGUAGAAAUGAAAAUUUUAAUUUCAAAUUGUAUAGCAUUUGAAUACAAGUUUGUUUGGUGGAGAAAAGCAAUUACACAAAGAAGGGAGGAAAUUUAAAAUUAAGAUUAAGUAUUAAAUCCAAAGAUGAUAUUAUAUUAUUAUUUAAGUGCUGAGCGAAAAAGUUUCAUUUGAACCACCAUCAAACAAAAUAAAUACAUUUCAAACACCAUGUGCAAAUCAGCAGAGUGGUUUUGUUUGGAGACCAAACAGCCACAAAAUAGAGCAAGAGCAAAAACUUCGAACUUACAGACUUGUUUUGAUAAUUCAACAGGGGUUUCUACGGAAUUGAAUGAUGCAGGAGUAUCAUCCGUGUGAGUAAGCGCUGGUAAUACAGAAGGAUCAACUUUGUGUUCAAGCUUCUGCCAAUCAAGCUCCUCCAAGCCAUGCCCAAUAGCAGCAGUAGGUGCUUCAGAAGCAGUCCCAUUGAGCUUGAUAGCAUUUGAUCGCACCUGUGGCAUUGCAUCUGAAGGCUCAGAUACAAAAGCUGGAAUUAUCAGUUUCUCAGUGGCCAAAUCAUCAGCAAGGGUAAUAACACGUGGCUCUGGUAAUAAAGAAUGAACUGUGACAUCUUCCUUGGGUUGAUUGGUUUCACAUGGUAUGGUAUUUGCAUCAUCAUCAUCAGAAAGUAGGAUCUCAGAUUCAGAAUCAGAAGUAAUCUUGAGUUCUGUAUAUCCUAUAUGAGAUAAAGGAUCAAGGCGCUUACUUCCCAGUUGAGGAGCUCCAACUGAUCCAGACGGUAUGUAUUGUUUCUUUUUCAGACCUUCAUGACUAUGUUCAACAGCACCUGAUAAAGACAGGUCAAGCUCAGCAGCCUCAGACUCAAUUGAUUUGGUCUGAAACAAUCUUUUGUCAGACUCACUAGGAAUGUAUGGCUUGCUGCAACAAGAACAAUGCCUUGUGCUUGAAGAAGAAGGCUUAUACUCCUCAAGUAUUGGGUCAUGAUCAAGAACCGAGUUAGUGUCCUCUCCCAAUUUACCCACCAAUAAUCUGUAUGUCUCAGCAUUAUAUUUAUUUAUUGUGGCAAAUGAGAAGAGGCAAUUUUCACACAUUCCACGACCAUUGACUAGCUUUUUAUGAGUAUAACAAAGAACUAAAGAGGAGAUCUCCAACUUAUGAUUAUGGCAAAUCAAAUCCCAAUAAAAGCCAAGUUUUUCCUUGCCUAGAACACGAUCAAGUCUCGAGCAUAGCAGGCAUGGUGCUUGCAAUUCACAACUACGGGCAAAUUUAGUGACCAAGUAUGAGAAUAUGCCAUCAAUGAACAACAUAAACAUAAGCAACCAUUCAAAAAAAGCUGAUGUCAAGACUGUUGUAAAACCCUGGGAAACAUUCUGAGAUUUAACAGGUGAAAUCCCCAUUGUAGCCAUGCCCUGGCAAGAUUAGUAGAGUAAGUUCACAGCAAGAAAUCGACUGCCCGAAACAGAAUAGUGUCCAGUCUUCCUAAAACCAUCAAUGGAAAAUAUCAACACUGCAGACAUAAAUGAACAAACAAAUUUAGGAGCAAUUCAAGGAAAAAAAAUAGCAGAAGGCAGCAUACAUUCAAAAUGAGGAUAAAAAGGAAGGAAAAAAGAAACUGAAUACACAUUUCAAGGAAAAUCCCAAUAGAAGCUAAAAACAAAAUUCAAAGCAGAAAUAGAAGGGACCUGCAUUUUAUAGAUGAUAAAAAACGGAAAGGAUCCGAUUUCUACCAACACCAGAAGCCAAGGAAAAAAAAAAAAAUCUUAACAAGCCACAAACAUGUCUCAUACAGAAGCAAUGCCAUCAUAAUCCUGGCAUAUAACUCCUAAAGCUAGUAAUUAAAUAUCUAGACUGCUAAAUGAGAAAUCAAUAACAGUAUGUUUCUUACCAAAAAGCAACAAACCCAUAUCUCCUACAUAAUCAAUACCCACCCAUAUAAUUUUCAACCAUUUAAGAAGCUGAUAAAAUAAAGCCUUCAACAAAAAAAGUUAGAAAAAA